UUUUUCUUUUGGUUUUUGUCACCAAAUCGAUUGAGCAUACAGGAAUUUAGGAUGUUAAUGGCGUUUACGAUUUGUAUACAUUUGGGUUUUUUGUUUUGAGAAUCGAUAAUUUCUUUGAAAAUUAUAGUUUUUAAGACCGUGUAAGAAAUUAUUGAUUCUUAAAACUUUUUUUGUAAAUUAUAAAUUUAUAGUUGAGUUUUUAGUAGAGAAAUAUAUAAUUUUUGGUUUAAUUAUUAGAUUGUCCUUUUUUAUUAUAAAAACUCAAUUGUAAACUUUAUAAAGGUAAAGAUAGUAUCGGAAUUCUAAAUAAAUAGAUAAUGAAAAUCAAAUUUUUUUAAUCGGUUUGUUUAUGGUUUGAAGAAUGACACGCAUUUGUCGGAAUGUGCGUGCCAUUCUUCGGGGGUCUACUGGGAUUCUUUGGUGGGCUAGUGUUUGCCUCCCCUUCAUACUUUGUAAGUUAUCGAGUGAUAGACAAUACUGCUUUUUUAGUUAUGUACGAUUCAGAGGAGUCUGGAUUAUCAGCCAACAAAACAACAAUCUUUGCCGACAGCAAGGAGAAAUUCUGACCGUCCAUCUUAAACUCCAAAUCUAAUGGUUGAAAUAACUACAGAUAUAAGUUGAUCAAAUCAUCAUUUGUCCUACUUGUCAAUCAUUAUUCUCAGUUCUUAAAAAUAUGUUACCACACUUUCAGAAAGACCCACCCUCUAAUUACUUUGUGGAAUGUGAUUCCUUUGCUAAUCCGUGGUAAAUACGGAUUAGGGUUACCAAACAAUAAUCACUAGGGCCCAUUUACUUCCUUCGCAUAUAUCUUUGAAGCUAUGAGCUCACGGGCCAUAGUCUGACUGUGUGGGCCUAUCCUGAUAUCAAGUUAACGGCCCAAUAGUCGAGGGAGGGUAAUAUUGACUAUUGGCUAAACAUGAAAUCAAAUUUGUAAAAAUAAAAAAGUUUAUUUCAUAUUGUGAAGCAAUGAAUUAUAAAAGCUAAAGACAAAAGUGUUGGUCCAAAAUGACCCCACAAAGAGAGUAGAUUUUGUGGACUCUACUUUAAUCAUUUAUUUUAUUACUAAAAAGCUAAAGCAAUAAGUUGAAAAUAAAAGCUAAGGAUAUAAGAAUAUUAUUUUAUUAUUGUGCACUACCCUAAAAAAAACCCCUUCAUUUUGGUAUUUUCUUGCAUGGCCAGAUGUUCUUCAUGGGCUAAAGAAAAAAUCUCCUUCAAAUAGUCAAACAAAUUAACCAAAAAGAAUUGCUGUGUGUGAAAUUAAAAAGCAUAAUGAAACUUUUCUACAUCCCUCACUAUCAAUGUAGAAAUGUACAUCAAUUUACAUUGAAUCUAUAUUUAAAAUCAAUGUUUUUAUACUUUGGUGGAAAAUAGUUGAAUUUCUUUUAUUUUAAAAUAUGAAAAAUUUAAACGGUCAAUUAUGUUAAGCGAAACAUGCAUGAGCAAAACCUUUAUUAAAACUCGUAAUUGAAAAAUAAUAGAUGAAAAUCUAUCAAAGUGAUUGCCAAUUUUAGCGUUGAAAGUCAAUAUUUUACACACCUUCAGCUUUUCGCCCAAAAAGAGCUAAAGCCAGAAACCGUGUUUUCUUGGGAAAGAUUCCCAGUAGCUUUUUGCUCCUUGUGAAUGAACAAUUGAUGAACACAAAACAAAGACAUAAACCUCAAAAACAUCAAAACACUUCACUAUGAAGCAAACAUUCUUACACACUGACUAGCAACACAGAUCCACACACACGCACACAAAAAGAGAAUCAAAAGAUGGGUCUUGUUCCUAUGUUCAGUACCCAUUUCAUCCUUCUUUCUCUGCUCUUAGUUUCUCCUGCUCUCUCCCAACUUUCAGGUUUGUGUCUGUGCCUGUUUUGCUCCAAAGCUAACAGCUUUCUUGUGUUCUUCACUUCCUAUCGUCCACCAUGAUGAUCACCUUUGUGUCUUAGAUCAGCUGUUUCAUGAACUCUGUACAGAAUCCUCAGAAUUUGUUCCAUACACGGAUGGAGAUUUGUCUACUUAGUGAAGGGUUUUCAUAGACUUAGUUGGAUACUCAUGUCGGUCGAGAUUUGUUUCUAACGAAAUUAGUUGAUCCAAAUCCCCCUGUAUCAAAUGUGUCGGACCAGUUGUACUCUAUACUCUCAUUGUACCGUCCAUUUCCACCUACCUAGUUUAUUUACCUCUUGUUUUCUCCGAAUGGAAGAUCUUGAAAUCAUUAUAGAUCUCUUUUGAAUGUGUACUCUCUGAUCAUAGUGGAGCGUUUCGUAACAGAAUCUUCGUAUGUAUGUACUAAUGAAACCCCUAAUUGUGGUAUCGUGUCCUGCAGAGUUUGUGAGCAUAGACUGUGGAGGAACAAGCAACUACAGUGACUCAAUCACAGGACUACAAUGGGUUUCAGACGCCACAUUAAUGAACUACGGAAAAUCAGUGGAGGUCCAGAACCCAGAUGGGAACUUGGAGCAGUACAAAAGGAGGAGAGAUUUCCCCAUAGACAGCACCAAAAAAUACUGCUACAAUAUGGCGACUCUGGAGAGAAGGCGGUACCUGAUUCGAGCUACAUUCCAGUAUGGAAACUUGGGGGAUCAGGAUGCAUACCCCAAAUUUGAUCUCUACUUGGAUGCAACCAAAUGGUCUACUGUCACGAUUUUGGAGUCGGCUAGAGUGUAUGCCAAGGAAAUGAUCAUAAGGGCACCUUCUAGCUCUGUUGAUGUUUGCAUAUGCUGUGCAACCACUGGCUCUCCGUUUAUCUCGACUCUUGAGCUGAGGCCGCUCAAUCUUUCGAUGUACGCGACUGAUUUCGAGGACAGUUUCUUCCUCAAGGUUGCUGCAAGGAUGAACUUUGGUGCCUUGGACAAGGAUGCUAUAAGGUAUGCAAAUGUGGUGUAUGUAAAGAUAGUUCUUUUAUCACUAAAGUCGCGAUAAGUCGACCCUAUGUAUUAUACAUUUAUCUUAUUUGAGUUGUGUCACAUAAGCCAGUUUUCCAUUUUCGACGAAUCCUAUUUUCAUGAUAUUUUGACCAAUUUGGCUUGCUGCAGGUAUCCUGAUGACCCAUAUGACAGGAUUUGGGAUUCAGAUCUCGACAGAAGACAAAACUACUUAGUAGGUGUAGCUCCAGGGACGAUGAGGAUCAAUACAACUAAAGACAUAUGGGUUAGUACUAGAGAGUACCCUCCAGUGAAAGUAAUGCAGACUGCAGUAGUUGGCACAGAAGGGACACUAAGCUACAGGCUAAACCUUGAGGACUUCCCAGCAAACGCAAGAGCCUACGCGUACUUUGCUGAGAUCGAGGAUCUGGGUCCAAAUGAGACGAGGAAGUUCAAGCUGACACAGCCUUAUUUCCCGGAUUACAGCAAUGCAGUGGUGAACAUCAUGGAGAAUGGUAAUGGCACCAACAGCCUAUACGAGCCUAGCUACAUGAAUGUGAGCCUCGAGUUUGUGCUCUCGUUCUCAUUUGUCAAGACUCGCGAUUCCUCUCGUGGACCGCUCCUCAAUGCCAUGGAGAUCAGCAAGUACCUGCAGAUUGCUGCUAAGACUGACAUCCAAGACUGUAAGUUUUUUUAUAAGGAACAUUUCACCAGUCCAAGUCAACCAACGUUGACCAAAACUCAUUCCUUCGUGAUCAUCGGCAGUGAAUGUUCUUAACGCGUUUCGAUCCAUGGCUCCCGGAAGCUCGUGGACUAGUGAUGGAGGUGACCCUUGUGUGCCAGCUCAUUGGGAAUGGGUGACUUGUGGGGUUACUUCUCCACCAAGGAUCAUAAAAAUGUAAACUUUUCCUCUUUACUUUUGGAUCACUUUAUAUCAGUUGAAUUAGCUCACCUAAUGUGGAAAAAGAAAACAGUUCCUUGUCAGGCAAGAACUUGAGAGGAGAGAUUCCACCUGAGAUCAACCACAUGAGACAAUUGGAAGAGCUGUAAGUUCAUUGAGCAAUGAUCUUAUAUAUAUACUUCAUAAUAUGCACAAAAUUCCCAAAUCCAGUAAUUUCUUUCCUCAGGUGGCUGGAUGGGAACUUGCUCACAGGGCCAAUCCCAGACAUAAGCAAUCUUGUUAACCUUAAAAUCAUGUAAAAAGCUAGCUUUGAUCCAUUCAAUUCAUAAAGUCUCUGGCUUUCUGGUUAAGUUGGCUUACUUACACCUGUAAAAAUUGCAGGCAUUUAGAGAACAACAAACUCAGUGGUUCACUGCCAAAGUACCUAGCAAGCUUGCCAAACUUGCAUGAAUUGUGAGUCUCUAGAAUUCCUUGGCUAACUUUUCGGAGAACCGUUGCAUCCCCAUAACUCGUAAUAUUCACUAUUGACUUAACAUUCAAGUUUUUCUCAGAUGUGAACUUGUGGUGUAGGUACAUACAGAACAAUGGUUUCACUGGCAAUAUACCUCCAGCACUGCUGACUGGCAAAGUAAUCAUCAAGUGAGUCUUCUUUCUCCAUUUCAGUGGAAUGCAGAUUAUAAGGAAGUAAUUAAAGCACUCAUUCUAAAAGAAACCGUGAUGUUUUGUUUCGAUCUUUGCAGCUAUGAACACAAUCCAGGUCUGCAUAAAGAGGCAGAAAAGAAGCAGCACUUUAGAUUGGUACUUGGGAUCUCCAUUGGCAUACUUGCAGCACUAACACUUCUCCUUUUAGCAAGCCUGGUGUGCUUGCAGCGUCUUCGUCAAAAAAACUCUAGGCAAACAACUAAUGAACAAGGUGAUGAUCGCUUCAUACUUAAAUAAUUUUAAAUUACUUAGCUUUCUGAGAAAACCAUGGUUCAUUCUCCCCGUUUUACUUGAUCUUCAUGUUUCUUACAGAACUACUACCAGGUCACUCAAUGAGAACAAGUGCCAAGCUUUCAUCUGCCUAUUCUGUUUCAAGAGGUUGGCAUCUAACAGAAGAUGGAAUUUCAUACUUCAUCCCACUCUCCAAAAUCGAAGGAGCUACCAACAACUUCGCGAAGAAAAUCGGUAAAGGAAGCUUCGGGACAGUGUAUUAUGGCCAGAUGGAAGAUGGAAAGGAGGUAGCUGUCAAGAUCAUGGCUGAUUCCUGCACCAACCUGACACAACAAUUUGUCACCGAGGUAUCCAAUAACUCGAGUUGUUUGGUGAUGUUUAGAAUUGGUUUAUAUAAGUGGAUUUAUAUUAGGGGGUAAUAUGAUUCAAACUUCGGACCUUUUGGUCAAAGUAACUGAUACCAUGUCAAGGACCCUUACAUCCUAAUAUCUCUAAGUCAUGGGGAGAGAUUCAGAAUUGAUUUAUAUAACAAUAUUCCUUAACAAUGUCAAUGUCGGAAACCAACAGUAGAUUCAUUACGAAGUUUAAUGUCAAGUUGAAAAAUAAUGUUUGCAGGUAGCCUUGCUGUCAAGAAUUCAUCACAGGAACUUGGUUCCAUUAAUAGGAUACUGUGAAGAACAGAACCAAAGGAUCCUUAUCUAUGAAUACAUGCACAAUGGGACACUAAGAGAUCACAUCCAUGGUAUUUGCUCCAUUCUUUUGAAUCAUUCAUGUCAUGUUUAUUAUUUGUCCACCGGCAUCAAAAUCAAUGGUCCCAUUGUUGUAAUGAAGGUUCAGUUAAUCACAAGCGAUUAGACUGGAUGGCACGGCUACAGGUUGCUGAAGAUUCAGCUAAAGGUUCAGUUUAACCAGCAACCCUUAAAACUCCCACAAUGUACAUUCUUUGUUCCACAAGUUCAAACAACUUAUGUGUCUUAACUUGUUUUACAGGCCUCGAAUACUUGCAUACCGGGUGCAAUCCCAGCAUCAUACACAGAGAUGUGAAAACCAGCAACAUUCUGCUGGACAUCAACAUGAGAGCAAAAGUCUCGGACUUUGGUCUCUCGAGACAAGCUGAAGAGGACUUGACACAUGUCUCGAGCGUCGCACGUGGCACAGUCGGUUAUCUGGACCCUGAGUAAGCAUUUCUCAUUUGUCUGUGGACUAGCCAACACAAUAUUAGUGAAUUGCGUAAAUGUGAACAUUCGAGCUUCCGUCACAAACAGGUACUAUGCAAACCAGCAGUUGACAGAAAAAAGUGAUGUCUACAGCUUUGGUGUGGUACUUCUAGAACUCAUCUCAGGGAAAAAACCAGUGUCAACAGAAGACUUUGGUGCAGAACUCAACAUUGUCCAUUGGGUAUAUAUAUACGAAUCCUCAGAGAAAUAUUUCCAUCGACUCAGAAUCAUGAGUUUGUGUGACAUUUUAUCCAUGUUCUGUUGCCAGGCAAGGGCUCUGAUAAGAAAAGGGGAUGUAAUGAGCAUAAUGGACUCAUUACUGAUAGGGAAUGCAAAGAUUGAAUCAGUGUGGAGGGUAGCAGAAGUAGCAAUCCAAUGCGUCGAGCUCCGAUCGGUUUCAAGACCCAAGAUGCAGGAGAUCAUAGUGGCAAUACAGGAAGCUGUCAAGAUAGAGAAAGGGUUUGAUGGUAGACAGAAGCUUAUAGGCUCAGAUAGCUCCUCCACCAAGGGACAGUCUUCAAGGAAAACGUUGCUAACAAGCUUUCUCGAAAUCGAUCAAAGCCCGGACCUUUCCAAUGGUUCUGGCCUUGUCCCUUCUGCUAGAUGAAAUCAUUUUGACCUUCUGUUUGGUUACAUUUGGUUUUUAGAUAGGAGGAAAUGGUGAGGGAAACUGUUAGGGAAGUACCUAUCUCACUCUUUUUUAAGUGAUGUCGAGAUAUUUUUGCCACGGUAGGCUAGUUUGGCCUAUUUCUCGAUACCUUUUGUGUCAAGUUAACUAUCGAUACGAUAAUAUAGAUGCUAUAAGCUGCAAUUAUGAGUUGUUGAAUUGAAUUAACAUAGAUAAGCCCUUUUCAAAGACAAUAUAAUUGAACAUCGGCAGUCAAAAAGGUCAUAAAAUCUUACUGUCAACUGUGUACGCACUCACUGCUUCCUUCUCUUAUUCCCUUCAGCGCCAGUUUUCUUAAACCCUUUGAAACCAUCAUCAGUAGUAUCAGCAGUGUUCUGCUUCUUCAUCCCUUUCCUCCCACCGAACCCGAAUUUCGAGUCUUUCCUGUCCCUCUUCAUCACCUUCUUAUCCGGCUUGCUCUUCAAUGACUUCCUCCCCUUGCCACCCGACCUGUCCCCAUGACCCACCCCGGGAUGUUGCUUGUUCGACUUCUCAAACGGCUUCUUCCCCACUUCUCCGAGAUCCAAAUCGAGCUCAUCGUUCUCGCCAGGAGCAAACCCACUUUCCUGACUUUGCUUCCUCGAAUUCUUAACUGUCUCAAUCUCUCCUUUCUUCUGUGAAGCUCGCUCCUUCUGCUUCUGCGCUUGAACCUCCUUUGAGAGAUUCUUAGCCUCCCUGGCUUUCCUUCUCUCUUCGGCUUCCUCCGUGUUCCUCUUCUCCGCCAGGAGCCGGUUCUUGAUCUUCACCAUAUGGGCGUCCGACUUCCCCAUUUCAGCGUGGUAAUCGGGGGGCCUUAAAAAGGGUAGCCCCAUCGUCUCGAACUUCUCGAACGCCCUCCUCGUGCCUUCCAAUGCCUGCAUGUAGAAUGCUGUCUCGCGAGUGAGGUCGUCGUUCACAUCAACUUCUUGCUCCUGGUUGAUCUCGAGGGAGAGUUUGUGGAUCCAACCUGCAUGAUCCGGCCAGCUGAUCUCUUGUAGCUUGUCGUUGAGACCGUCUCUGUUGAAUAUCGCGUCCGUGGAAGGGACGUCCAAUUUCACGUCACCUUCCUGAUCUGAGUCGGACGAAGAAUCACCGCUGAAUUCUUUGUUAUCUUCAUAAGCUACAUCAUCGUCAUCUUCUAUUAGAUCCUCGUCUUUCAUAACUGAAACUGGUUUUGGUGCCGCCAGCCAUUCAAAUGAACCUGCACGAGACAGAGAUAUAAGAACGUAUUCAGUCGUAAAUCCUCAAUGAACAAAGAGAGCCAUGGAUUAACACCCGAAUAUGCAAAAAAAAAAUCAGAAAGAAACCAGUACAGAUCAAAUGCAGAUACAGAAGACAUUCGAUUAGUUUGUUAAUCAAAGAACAAUAACACGUCGUAAUUGAUAAAUUACCAACAAUAUUUCAACUAAUGGAGCCAUUCUUCAGGGUUAACCAUGUCAACCGAUGAUAGAAGCAACUAACAAUAAGAAUGCAAUUAGAGAUACUGAAGAGUGACAACUCAGCAGCAGAAAGUUCACCUAUCACUAGAACAGAACCGUGUAAGUAAAUUGCUCCAGCAUCCAGAAACUGAUUCUAUCACUGGAAAUCGCAGAGUCGAAGAUGAUUUCACGUGUAAGACAUUUAUAGAAACGAUUCAGGCAAAGCUAGAGUUUAUCCCCGAGGGGAAGAUGAAUAAUCCGCUGGAGGAGUGAAUGAGAUAAUAGUCGAUUGAGGACUGUACCUGGUGGUUCGCGACGGGGAGAUUGCGGAAGCAGGUGACAAAUGGAGCUUCAAGAGUCGGAAAGAGGGGUUUAUCGUUCUUGGUAGCGUCAAUUUAGGGUUUUACUAGCAGGGCAAAUUUGUGUUUUCCUUUUUAAGGGGGGGAUAAAAAUGUCAAUACGGGGCCACACGUGUGACACUUCCUACCCGAAUAACUCGGUGUUCUGACUCGAGAAAAGUAACUUAAAAUUCAGCUACUAUUAAAUGAGUUACACUAUUUCCAUCUCAUAAAUUAUUUAGUGAUUUCUAAUUAGCUACACACUAUUACAUCACCAAUUUUGUCAAUGGACUCAUUAAGCAAAGUAAUAUAUUUAAAAAUAUGUUCCAAUAUGCUCGUAUAUGUCGUCAUAGCUACGACUCGAUUGCUGAACUCGAAAAUUGUAGAAAAUUGAACUAUCUUAAAAGUUUAAUUUACAGAGACUUUUGAACUCAAAAGUUGUAGAAAAUUAAACUAUCUUUCCAACGGCGCCGGUCUUGCAUCAAUCGGACUUCUGAGGUAGGAGAUAUGUCCAAAAUACGAAAUUACGACGUUUUCCGACCAAGUUGAACGUACUGAGUUAUUUCGGCCACCUCGUCAUGUCUUGGUUCAUUUCUAAACGUCAUCUGACACCUGAAAUGUACCAAAAUUAUAUCAAACACCAUAACACGGCCACGAGAGCAAAAGAAUCAAACAUGUACUCAAAAUCCUGAAUUUGAAUACAUUUCGACACACAAAAAUAUAGUUUAUAGCGAGAAAAAAUGUAUCGAAAAUACAACACAUCAUAUUUAUACGACAUUGCUAAUUUAACAAUCUUUUUUAUUAACAACCGCCUUUAUAUCCUUAAUAAUUGUUAAGUGGAGUGUCAAAUCACCAUCCAUUUCAUUUAACCAUUGCUAAAAGAUAAAGAUGGGAUGCUCUUAGUUUCAAUAUAGAUAAACAAGUCAACUUGAAGCCAAUAUAGGUUUGGCUUCGGCAGGCUCGAUUAAGAUAGUUUAUAACUCGACUUGACUCGAUUAGUGAAUCACGAGAUUGCUAAGGUCGAUUACGAGCUUAUUUUUUUAUCCUAUAAAAAUGUUAACACUAAGUUAACUCUAUGUAAAUUUGGUUGAUCCAAGCUUCGGCCUUUAGUUUUUAUUUUAGAAUGCAGUCGAUUCGGUUAUAAUUUAUAAUGAUUAUCAAGCCUCGUACCUAACACAAGGAGACAACCAUCAACAUCAAACAUCCCAAGAGACCAUUUCCAAUGAAAACUUUACUAGCAAGUUUCCUUGAGAUUUGAUCAAAGGUCUGACCUUUUCAAUGGUCAUGGCAUCAUUCAUCUUCUGUUUCGUUACUCUCCCAACCACUAUGAUGAAAAAUUGUACAUUUGGUUAUUAGAAUAUGAUAUAAAAGGCAGGCAAGUACUAUAGCAAAGUGUCCAUCUAUAACCAACAAAAAAACGUAACUGACCGAUUACAUUAUGUACGUAUGAUGUUCGGAUAUUUUGUAGACUUUUAAAUUGGAAUGAAUUUCAAUAGAAUUUCAUCACUUUAGAACUGAAAGGACUCUACAAUAAUGUAAAUUCUCUUUUUGAUUCUGCCAUUGAACUGAAAAUGGUCAUAGAGCUUACGGUUUUUGUCACUAAAAUUUUAAGUUUUUUUGGUAUUAUGAUCGAAAAGUCGAUGGCCAUAACUCCGAUAUGAGAUGUACUAUCCUCACUAGGAUGGUUGUUACCCAAAGUCACAAUUAGGAGAAGGGAUAUCAACUACGACAAAACGGUUGUAAGUCUUCAAUUCAUUUUUAGGUUCUUCUUCGCAAUUUGCUGCGUCCAACAUGCCUUGUGACAGUCCCCGUGGAGUAGUGUAGUUAGUUAUGUUGUAUAUUGACAAUCUAGAGGUCUUAAAUUCGAAUUCAUCAUACUUUUUUUGUAUGUAAACUCUAGUAUCCGACCCACCAACCGACUAAUCCAGUCGAAGAUAGUCUCGGAGUUAAGAUUUUACUCCUCUCCCAACGUUGUUGCGGGGCAUCAAACCUUGGUGAAUUCAACACACUUUAUAUAUGGAUACCGACAUAUUUCUUUUCUUUUUCUUUAUCUCUUAAAAAACAUUUCUUAUGAUAAUAACAAAUUAGAUGUAGUAGUAGGUUUGAGUUUGGUGAAUAUCUAACUUAAUUAUAUUCUAUAUAUGUUUCCCAAGUUCAUGUUCUUUCUAAUUCUAUAAUAUUUGAAGUGAUCCAUAAUAUAUGGAGACUUGAUCUUUGCAUUCAAAUGUUGUAUUAUUUUAUUAAACAUUGUAACUUGCUAAACAAGUAAAGUAAACAACCUUAGCUAAAUCAUAUGACCCCAUAAUACAUAAUCCAUUAUAAAAAUAUUUGACACCCUAUAAUAUAAUUAUUAUGAUUAAUGAUUAUUACUAAUUCUUUUUUCAUAGUGAUUAUUAUUACAAGGAAACUUGAAUGAUUGUAUUUGUCCUACCACCCUACAAUAAUCAAUUUUUUUAAAACAUCCAACUUCAUUUAUCAUGCCUAGAGUUAUACACUUAUAUAUAGCNNNNNNNNNNNNNNNNNNNNNNNNNNNNNNNNNNNNNNNNNNNNNNNNNNNNNNNNNNNNNNNNNNNNNNNNNNNNNNNNNNNNNNNNNNNNNNNNNNNNNNNNNNNNNNNNNNNNNNNNNNNNNNNNNNNNNNNNNNNNNNNNNNNNNNNNNNNNNNNNNNNNNNNNNNNNNNNNNNNNNNNNNNNNNNNNNNNNNNNNNNNNNNNNNNNNNNNNNNNNNNNNNNNNNNNNNNNNNNNNNNNNNNNNNNNNNNNNNNNNNNNNNNNNNNNNNNNNNNNNNNNNNNNNNNNNNNNNNNNNNNNNNNNNNNNNNNNNNNNNNNNNNNNNNNNNNNNNNNNNNNNNNNNNNNNNNNNNNNNNNNNNNNNNNNNNNNNNNNNNNNNNNNNNNNNNNNNNNNNNNNNNNNNNNNNNNNNNNNNNNNNNNNNNNNNNNNNNNNNNNNNNNNNNNNNNNNNNNNNNNNNNNNNNNNNNNNNNNNNNNNNNNNNNNNNNNNNNNNNNNNNNNNNNNNNNNNNNNNNNNNNNNNNNNNNNNNNNNNNNNNNNNNNNNNNNNNNNNNNNNNNNNNNNNNNNNNNNNNNNNNNNNNNNNNNNNNNNNNNNNNNNNNNNNNNNNNNNNNNNNNNNNNNNNNNNNNNNNNNNNNNNNNNNNNNNNNNNNNNNNNNNNNNNNNNNNNNNNNNNNNNNNNNNNNNNNNNNNNNNNNNNNNNNNNNNNNNNNNNNNNNNNNNNNNNNNNNNNNNNNNNNNNNNNNNNNNNNNNNNNNNNNNNNNNNNNNNNNNNNNNNNNNNNNNNNNNNNNNNNNNNNNNNNNNNNNNNNNNNNNNNNNNNNNNNNNNNNNNNNNNNNNNNNNNNNNNNNNNNNNNNNNNNNNNNNNNNNNNNNNNNNNNNNNNNNNNNNNNNNNNNNNNNNNNNNNNNNNNNNNNNNNNNNNNNNNNNNNNNNNNNNNNNNNNNNNNNNNNNNNNNNNNNNNNNNNNNNNNNNNNNNNNNNNNNNNNNNNNNNNNNNNNNNNNNNNNNNNNNNNNNNNNNNNNNNNNNNNNNNNNNNNNNNNNNNNNNNNNNNNNNNNNNNNNNNNNNNNNNNNNNNNNNNNNNNNNNNNNNNNNNNNNNNNNNNNNNNNNNNNNNNNNNNNNNNNNNNNNNNNNNNNNNNNNNNNNNNNNNNNNNNNNNNNNNNNNNNNNNNNNNNNNNNNNNNNNNNNNNNNNNNNNNNNNNNNNNNNNNNNNNNNNNNNNNNNNNNNNNNNNNNNNNNNNNNNNNNAGAGGAUUAAUAUUCGAUAUCCAAUAUUCACUUUUGAAAGGAAGUUGAAAAGUAACGAUUAAACAAAUUUUAAAUUUUAAAUAAUCAACAUUAGAUAUAACGACGGUUAACGAAUAUAUAUAAAAUUGAGCUUAACAUUCUUUAAGCAUUCAAUUGGAUUGGGGAAAAUGAACUUCAACCAAUGAAAAGUGGCAAAGCAUCGUAGGGGAAAUAAAUAAAUAAACGCUGAAUAUUAAAUAAUUCCAGUGGAAGAUUGUAAAAAUAAUAAGCAAUGUAGUAAAGAUUAAACCUAUGUAUUUACAUAUGCACACGUUCUUUAAAUGGAUAUAAAUAUUGGCAAAUCUAGAAUUCGAAACAAUGGUGUGCCUAAUUUAGAAAAAACAUAAGUAUGAAAUAAAUGAUAAAAACGGUAAUAGUGGAGUUAAAACCGAUAUCUUUUACGGAUAUAAUUUCCUCAUAGUUGGCGGUUCUAUCGUACGCGAGAUUAUCCGGUUGUUGGCGUCUUCAUAUUGUUUGCCGGUUAGGUAAUGGGGCCCACCUAGCCCAUUUAGUGACACAUCUAAUAAGGUGUAUUAGGUAGUCAUCACUUCCUCAUAGAUGGUUAGGGUUGCUUGAUUUUUAUCUUUUUGUCUCCAAAAAAAACUAUAUGAGCCAUACAAAAAAAAUUAAUCUCUUAAUUGCCAACACAUAACACUACCAAUUACAUUAUUCCGAAUGAAAUUUCAACCAAAUUUGAUUUUUUUUUUUUAACGUUGGACUUCUUAUUCAUCGAUUGGAUGGAAAACUGAACAAAUUAAACAAGCCAGCCAGCAGAGAGCAACCUUGAAAGCUCCAUCGAGUCAAUUGAAUCCAACCCUCAUUGAAGAAACCGUUUUGGUUCUUCUUUUAUUUUUUAUUUUUUUUGAAUAAGCUUCUUCUUCUUCUAUUCUGCAAUAAAAUCAACAAAAAACCAAACCAAAAAAAGGGUUGAAGCGAAAACCAAAGAUAUAUGUGACAGUGAGGGUGGGGUGAGUCAGUGUUGUUUCAGAGAGAGAGAGAGAGAGAAUCCACUUUCCCCAUUUCCUUCCCCACUAUAUUAUUAUUAUCUUCCCAAUUAAUCUUCCUCUGCUCUAUCCUGUUUGUGUUGUUUUCUAUGAGAGGAAAGAAAGAAAGAGAGGGCAAGCAAGGAAAUGAAGGAAGAGUUUGGUAGGUCUUUUAAAUUAAUGGGGAUGGAGAUGAUGUAUUUGGAGUUGGGGAGGUCCUCUUCUUACCAGGACUCCCUCAAAGUUCUUGAAGCUGAUAUUCAGUAUGCUAAUACUCUGUAAGUGUAUCAUCUUACUUUACCUUUUUAGGGGGUUUGGUUUAUCUGGAAGUGGGUUGUGUUCUUGAAAUGAUUAAAAAGCUCUCUUAUUUAUCAAGCUUGCUUCUUGCCCUUUGUUCUUCAUUUCUGUGGGAUUUUCAAGUAUAUGGAUUUUCCAUUCCCCCAUGGGUUUGGGUUCUAUGUUGAUUCUAUGAUGUGGGUUGUGUUCUAAAUCCUGGUUGUUGCAUCUGGUCUUGAUUUCUGUACGAUUUUUCAGUGGCCAUGAUCAAAGUUGGAUUCUUUUUUUCUUGCUAAAUUGAUGGGGAAACAAAAGACGGUUACUUCUCUUUUUUCAGAGUUCGUGGCACACGAUUGACUUAGCAACCGUGUCUAUGUCAGUUGUUGGGUCCGUAAAAUCAGCUGGAUGUUUCUAGGUCUUAUCCAAAGUCAGUUACAUGUUGAGUUUGUUGAGUUACAUGUUACUGGUUAAUUGGUUGCUGAGUUUAUCAAGUUAAUCAUGAUCACAAAUAGGUGAAAUCACUCAAGCUCCACUUGCAGCCAGCUAAAGUUGGUUGCUUUUGCCAAAUUUUAGGAUCCUAUCAAAAUGAUGAAACUCUCAAAUCUUGACCUAAACCAACACCAAUUGUUGUUUAAACUCUUUCAUAUGUUUUAUUUCACAGGGCUGCUGAAAUCCCUAGAGGGAAAGGUGGUUCAUAUCUUCAAAUGAAGCUAGUCUACAAUCAAUGGGCUCCCUUUUUCUUGUUCUUGCUUCAGAGGAUAGAUUCCUCUUGCGUCUGUUUACUCCCUAGAUAUCUCAAUCUCUUCCACGUCCUUGUUUACAAGGUAAAUGUAAUGUCAAUGACCAAAUGAUUCAUGGUUUAUAGUUGUUAUUGUUGUUGUUGUCUUUGCUCAUUUGAAAUGUCGUUUCUGUAGGUUCACGACAGCAUAUCGCGGGUUUCUGCUCAUGGAAGGAAAGCAACAGUCAAGGAGUUCUAUGGUAUGGCCGAUCCCAUGAAGAAUUCGAUGCCUUUUAUGUGUCUUGCAUGUUUUGUGCUUUGGAUGAUGUUGUGAUGUACAAAUUCACUUGCCACAUUGUUUAGGUGUCAUCUUACCUUCCCUUCAAAGGAUUCACAGCAACUUAGAUGAAUUCAAUAUGGUGCUAGAUGUUAAGCAAGGGGUUCGAGCAAUCGAGAGCUCAAAAGUAAAGAAGAUGGAUGGCGAUCAUAAGCUUAUAAGCAUCGAUCUGGAGAGGGAAGAUGAAUGUGGCAUCUGCUUGGAGCCUUGCACCAAGAUGGUUUUGCCUAAUUGUUGUCAUGCAAUGUGCAUCAAGUGCUACCGCAAUUGGUAAAAUGCCCCGAAGAUCUUUGAGCCAAUCCUUUUGUGCAUUACUGCUGGUAUGAUCGCACCCUUGACAUUUUUAUGAUGUUAUUUUCUUCGGCAGGAACACGAGGUCGGAGUCGUGUCCAUUCUGUCGCGGAAGCUUGAAGAGAGUCAACUCAGAAGACCUAUGGGUACUCACUUGCAACAAUGAUGUGGUUGAUACUAUGCAGGUUACGCGGGAAGACCUCUUGCGAUUCUAUCUGUACAUCGAUCGCCUGCCAAAAGACUACCCGGAUGCGCUCUUCUUAGUGUACUAUGAGUAUCUACUCUGAGUCUUGAUGGAUUGAAUUGGAUCAAAUGAUGUACAGAGGGGGUUUCGCAAAUGCUGCCGACCAGAUCAAAUGUAAAUAGAGUCCGGUAUGGUGCAGCCUUGUGUGAUUCGUCCAUGAAGUCCCAACUUCGUAUCGGAGAACCAGAGGCAAAAUGCAGACCAUCACCUUGUGUUCUGCUUCUGUAAUUUGUUAUUGAUGAGAGAGCUGCCCUUCAAAUGCUUUCAUGGAGAGUUUGGCUUAUAUUUAUCAAUUGUAAUGGCAACAUUUGAGCCUCUUCUGAUCCCAUGACGGAUGCUCAAGUUAGUAUAUUGUUUCAGAGUUUGGAUGUCUGGCUUGUGUUUUUACCUUUUUCUGUGGUGGCUGCGGAUUUGAAUUGUUUGCAUCUUCAACAUUCAAACCUGUAAAUGCUCACAAUAAAAACAUUCCUUCUCAAAAGUGGGUAUUGUUUCUCCAGUAACCAAGUUUUGGAUGGACCCAAUGGGUUUGAUUUCUUGUCCAAAACCCCCUUUGUUGUACUUGUUUCGAGUUUGGGUCUUGGGUUAUGGCCUAAUGGUUUUGUACUCCGUUUCAUACUCUGAUUCGAGUUCAAGGGUCCAUGGACCCUGAUAUUUUCAAGGUUCAAUCACAUUCCUCUAAUGACUAAAGCUAGUUGAGUCCUUGCAUAAUUGAGGUCCUUCCACCACCGGUGAAGCGAUCUGAGUGAACCUGUCUAGUGAAUUCUAAUGAGAUUGGUUGGAGUGGGAACCUCGUAGAUAAAAGAGUGUCAGUAUAUGGCUAAGCGUUUAUAGAAAGACAUUGGGGAUGCCCUUAAGGAGACUAAAUGUGUGCACGGGGUAGUAUUGUGUUGUCCUUUGAAUAAUGAUCACAUACUUCUUUUAUAACAUCUUGAUAUUUUGAGCUUAUCAUCUUAAAAUUUUCUCUGAUUCCUGAAAAUGUCUAGGAUUGCCUAUGACUUGUCAAGCAUUACUGAGAACCGAUUCCAUAAGAACAACUGAAUUCGACCCAUUGGUCUAACUGACGAUUGUCCAACUCCUUAAGGACAACUGAGUCUGACCCAUUGGUCUAACUAGCGAGAGGGUCUAAGAUAAUUAAGAUCAUACUAAUACAAUCUCAAAAUAAAUUGUUAAUAAUGUCUAAAUUAUUUUAUUUGAAAUAAAUUCUAUAGAGUGGUCUGAUUCUUAGAGUGGUAUGAGAUCCCUUGCCAAUAUUUCUCUAAUUUUUUCAUCAUGGUAAAAAUAAAAAAUGCGUGACGUGGAAAUUGGAGCAAAAUCCAGUGCUGGAAUCAUUGCAGCUUUUAUAAACCAUCAUUCUGAUCACCGUCAGAUUGAGCUCAGAAGUAUACACUUCAGCCCAUCACUCGCCGUUGAUUUUAAUUUCUUCUCAUUCUUUAAUUUCCCUGUCUUAACUCUUAAUCACACAACACAAGUCACGAAAGAUCCCAAUCGUCUUCUCGUUUCUAGGGAUUCUGAUCUUCCGCCAAUUUGAAGAUUUCUGGCGGGUAAAUGUGGUAGAGCAAAAAUGUCCGGCGGCAUAGACGGCGAACACGAGCCCUUUACCGGCGAGCAGGAUGAAGCCGGCGAAGGCGAAUCAAUCCAAGGAGCUGAUGCAAAUCUUGAAACUCCGACCGAUCAGGUACCUAAUCAUUUUCAAUGCUUUGUAGGGUGACCCGUUUUCAUUCCGUUAGAUUUGCUGAGUGAGAGCGAAAUGCAGGGAGAAGAUUUGUUUCGGACUCCGGUUGUGGAGAGCAGGGAUGACAUGUUCGUCGAUGCAACUGGUGACGACGAUGUUCACGACGGUCAGUUCCAGUUGCCGGAGAAUGGAAAUGGUUCGAAGGAUGAGUCGGAGAAUGGGUGGAAGGUAGUUUUUUACUUUGGUGUACUCUGUAUGUUUGGAUGUUUAUGAACUGUUUGAUUUGUAUGGGUAAUGAAUUGAAUUUGAUGUUCUGACUUCAGGAGGAAAGGGAGGGAUUUGUUAGGGAAGUUGCUGGUCUGCGAAAGGAGCUGAGAGGUUUUGUCGAUGGACGGUUAGUGGAUGACGAUCAAAGUGAGGAGUCGUUGCGGGAGAUGGUUAAUGAGUGCUCGAAUUCGGUUAAAUUUGCUUUAGAGCAGAGGCUAGAGGACGAGACGAGGAUGGAUGAACUUCAUAAAGACAUUGAAGAGUUGAAUGUGAAGGUUCAAGGGGAUCAGAAUGUGGAGGUUGUCGUGGAUAGGUUGAUGUCAUUGCUUGGUACGGUGGCUAAUCCAGUAGACAUGAUGGAUGAUUCUGUUCUUGGGAAAAUUGGUUAUGUUGAAAGAAGUGCUGUGAUGUUGAUGGAACAAAAUAAAGCGAUUCUGCAUGAGAUCCAUCAGUUUAGAAAAUCUAUAUACGAAGGAGGUUCAAAUGUGGGUGAAGUAGACGGGGAUGGCGAGUGGAGGCCGUUUCUAGCAACUGUUAAAGCCGAGAUUCUGGACCUGAAGAUGAAAGAGGUGGUUAUGGUGGAGAAAAUGGCCCAUUUAGUGGAUCAAAACAGGCGAUUGGUACUGGAGUCGGAAAAGGCAGCUUCUUCAGAGCUGGAAAGGGUGAAAGAAGAACUUGAGCGUGAAAAGGAUAGGAGUGCUAAAACCAAAGAAAAGCUUAGUAUGGCCGUGACAAAGGGGAAGGCACUGGUUCAACAGCGUGAUUCGUUGAAGCAAUCUCUGGCCGAGAAGGCUAGCGAGCUUGAAAAAUGUUUGACGGAGUUGCAAGAGAAAACAAGUGCAGUUGAAGCAGCUGAGCAUUGUAAGGAGGAACUAGUUAAGCGUGAAAAUUUGGUGUCAUCAUCGCAGAACUCUCUCUCUCAGAGGAAUGCAAUACUUGAAAGCAUUGAAGCGAUAGUGGCACAGACUUCUAUAUCUGAAGAUCUUCAACCAACAGAUCUUGAAGGGAAGGUGAGGAGGAUUGUAGAUCAGGUGGGUUCAUUGCAGGAAAGUAUAUCACAGCAGACAGUUGUGGUUAAUAAUAUUGAAGAAAUUCUUUGUCAGACAACUGUCCCCGAGGAACUAAAAUCGGCAGAUAUUAUUGUGAGACUGAAGUGGCUUUUAGAUUUAGCUAUAUCACUAAAGGAUACAAUAGCUCAAAUAAGUUUACCUGAGGAGGUUCAGUCAGAGGAUAUGGUUGGAAAAUUGAAAUGGCUUGCCGAGGACAGGAGUAAAAUUUCCAGUGAUUUGCUUGAAUUCCAGAAAUUGAAAGAUGCCUUAAGUCUUAUUGAUAUGCCAGAAGCUGUCUCUUCCUCCGAUUUGGUUGCUCAAAUAGGUUGGCUUAAGGGAUCAGUUGACCAGGCAAGAGAUGCAAUAAACAUGCUGGAUGAUGAAACUGCGAAAGCGAAGGAAUCUGCCAGAAAUAAUCUGGACCAGUUGACUGCUUCAAUUGCAGUCGAAAUCCAAGAAAAGGAGCUUCUGAAGGCUGAACUAAAUGAACUAAUGGGUAAGCAUGAAGAGAUGGUGGAAAAGGAACGUCAAGCUUUGUCAGAUAGAGAUCAGAUAAUGAAGAUGCUGGUAGAAGUUACUGGAGUCGAAACAGACGGUUUAGAAGGGUCCUAUCCUAGUUACUCUGAUGUAAGCAUGCUAGUCGGGAGAUGCUUAGAAAAGAUAAAAGAAAAGAACAAUGCUUCAGUUUCUGUUUCUCCUGCUGAUGCUGAGGUCUAUCAUAAUAUGCAAAGCCAUUUAUAUGUCAAGGAUCAAGAAUUGACGCUCUGUAAGACACUUCUUGAGGAGGAUGAGUUGGUGAGAUUACAUGUGCAUAAUCUAUCAGAUUCCCUUAGAACAACAUCUCAGGAGCUUGAAACAUUGAGUUCGGAAAAAGAAUCUAUAAAGAAUGAUCUCAACAGAUCAGAAGAAAAAUGUGCCUUACUAAGGGAGAAGCUUUCCUUGGCAGUUAAGAAAGGCAAGGGGUUGGUGCAGGAUAGAGAAAAUUUGAAACUUCUUAUGGAUGAAAAGAAGUCUGAAAUUAAAAAGUUGAAUCUUGAGGUACAGCAGCAGGAAUCUGUGGUUGGUGAGUGCAGGGAUCAGAUAAACCGGUUAUCUACUGAUUUGGAGCGAGCCCAGAAUCUGGAAGCUGAUCUUGCUGCUGCAAAAGAUCAAAGAGAUCAGUUCCAGCAGUUAUUAUCGGAGAGCAAUAAUAUGCUGCAUAAAGUAAUGGAGUCUUUUGACCACAUUACUCUUCCUAUUGGUUCCAAUUUGGAUGAACCUGUAGGGAAGAUGAAGUCAUUUGCAGACUACCUCAGCGAGUGCCAAGUGGCUAAGACUCAUCUAGAGCAAGAACUAGACAAAAUUAAGGAAGAACAUACUGUUUUGACUAGUAAGUUGGCAGAAUCCCAGCAAAAUCUAAAAUCUGGAGAAGAUGCAUUGUCUGAUGCAGAGAAUCAGAUUUCGGAGCUAGCAGAUGAAAAGAGAGCACUAGAGGCUGCAAAGGAGAAUGUAGAACUAGACUUGCAAAAGGCUUUAGAUGAAGUGAAUGCACGAACUAGCAAGGUCACUGAGGCUAAUGCAGCUAGAAGCUCACUUGAAGAUGCAUUGUCGUUGGCAGAGAAUAACAUUGUGGUCCUUGUUAAAGAAAGAGAAGAAGCUCUAAUUAGCAAGGCUGCUGUUGAAGCCGAUUUAGAAACUGUAAGAGAGGAAGUAGAUAUUCAGUCUGAAAAAUUGACGGAUGCAUACAGAUCUAUGAAGUCUCUGGAAGACACACUCUCUGAGGCGGAAACCAAGGUAGCUUCACUGACUGAAGAAAAUAAUGAUUUCCAGGCUGUCAGAACCCAAUUGGAGAAUGAGCUAAAGAAACUGAAAUAUGAAGCUGAGUCCCAUGUACGUAAGCUUGAAGAUACCACUUCAACCAUUAAAUCAUUGGAAGAUGCUUUGUCAAAGGCUAUGAAUGACAAUUCUGCACUUGAAGAUGACACAAUCAGACAACAUUUUGAGAAGCAAUAUCAAAAUCUCAACAGUAUGGAUCUCAUACUCAACGACUGUUUUGCUAAUGGAGAUUCACAGAUGCUGCAAAUUUCUCCUAUCAUGGUAAGUAAUUACGUGUGAUCUUUCUGUUCAAUGUCGAUCUUUUUCUCUCCCGUAGUUUAAUGCUUUUAUCUCACUGCUAUCUUUCAACAUCAGGAUGAAUCACAUGCAAGAAAAGCUUUCCCACAUGACACUGGUAGUACUAUAAGUGCUGAAAUGGAAACUGGUGACGUUGUUUCAGCUGAUUUGGACAAUGUUUCGUUGUACUUUAAAAAGUUUAGUGAUGGCUUACAGCUGAGGAACAAGAUCCUGACUGAGAAUUUUGAAGGACUUUCGAGCUUCACAGAUGAAUUUGCUGAAGUUCUGCACAGCAAAUUAAGGGUAAUAAAGGAUGCUAUAAUUCUUGCCCGUGAGCGGAUGGAGUCGAUGAAGCAGAAGAUGAUAGACAUGGAAACUAGUAAAGAAGAACAAGAUAGAGCCUUUGCCUUGUUAGAAAAAGAGCAUAAAGUUCUCCUCUCUGCAUGUGUCAACGCUACAAGUGAACUGCAGUUUGAAUCUGUAAACGGUCUGAUGGACCUGAAGUCUGUUCCUGAGCUUGAGAAGUUGAACCAGCUGUUUCAGUUGGACAAUAAUAAUACAGAAAAUCGGACAAUGGAGGAGGACAGUGAAGACAUCAAGAUGGUAGAAAAGUUGUUAUCAGCUACGAGAAAGGUUCGGAACCAGAUUAGAUUGUUUGAACGUACGAGUGAAGUGGCAGCUGCUGUGAUAGAGGAUCUGCAGAACAAAAUGGAGACCAGUGCAGGAACUUCUGAAAACGUCCUAAGAGAAAGGGAUAUACUUCAAAGUAAGGCUGUGGAGUUGGAGAUGGAAGUAGGAGCACUGCAAAACUCGUGCCAGCAGCUGAGGGCCGAACUCGAAGACCAUGAAAGCAUCCAAAGCGAAAGGGACCUACUUCAGAGUAGGAUUGCAGAGCUGGAGGCUGAUGUAGAAGCAUCUCAAAAUUCAUGCCUGCAGUUACGAGCUGAGCUAGAGGACUACAAUGACUCGGAGAAGAAAUUGCACCAAAAAGAAGUAGAGCUUUCAACGUUACAAAGCAAUUUGUUGAUGAAAGAACAAGGUAUACGUCUUCCUAGACCGUGGCUUAAUUUUUAGAACUUUCAAUUGCUUUACCAAGGGCAGACCUUUACUAACUAGUUUGUUCAUUGUUCUCUGCUCCAGAAGCCACAGACGCUCUUAUGUCAACAUCAGAACUGAGAACUCUCUUUGACAAAAUCCGUAGAAUCAAAAUGUUUAAUUCAGGGUCAGAAUUAGAAUCAGUUGGAUCACAUACUUCAUCUGAUGUGAAUAAACUAUUUUACGUAGUUGAUAGUGUGGUACAAUUACAGAAUCAAAUAAAUGCAUUAGCUUCGGAGAAAGAUCAGCUACAGUCAGCGUUAUCCAAGCAGAUUCUUGAAAUUGAGCUUUUGAAGGACGAUGUUCAAAGUCAUUCCAGAAACCAACAGUAUGUAGAAACGAUGAAGGAUGAAAUUUCUGAGAUAACCGUUGGCUUGGAGAAAAUACUUGAUGUUUUCGGAGGUGAUGAAGUUGUUUCGGAUAAAAAACCUGGCAGUGCAAGUAGGCUUUUGCAGCUGUUGGAAAAGCAGGUGAAGGCAUUGUUCUUAGACGCUGAGAAUGCCAAGUCCCACGCUCAGGAGCUUGGUAACAGGUUGCUUGAGAGCCAGAAGGUGGUGGAUGGAUUGUCAACUAGGGUCAAAGUGCUUGAAGAUUCUGAUCGAAGUAGAAGUACAGCACAACCUGAGAUUUUCCAGGAAAUGAGUAUGUUUGAAGCUCCAUCUCCACCAAGUGGCUUGGAGAUAUCCGAAGCUGAAGAUGCUGUAAGUUUCCUAUGAUUAUUUUCAUGGCUACAAAAGUGACUCAAGAUUUUCAACAACGUUAGAGAAAUUAGUUGAACCAUUUCUGUACUCGGUUCUCAAAUGCUCUUCUGCAGGGCUCCAUCGGGAAGAACCCUCCGGCUCCAGUCCCGAAAGCUGCUCACGUAAGAACGAUACGAAAGGGAGGAUCGAGUGACCAUCUCGCAAUCAGCAUCGACUCAGAAUCCUCCACUCUCAUCAACAAGGAAGAAACUGACGAGGAAAAAGGUUUGCAUCGCAAUUAUGCCUUUUUCUCACUAGGGAAUCGUUCUUCAAACUCAAAAGGAAAGUAAGAACAUCCUUUUGUUGUGCAGGUCAUGCAUUCAAGUCUCUCAACACAUCUGGUCUCAUCCCCAGGCAAGGGAAGUCGGUCGCAGACCGAGUUGACGGAAUAUGGUAAAAAACCCCUAAACCAAACUGCCUGUAGUAAAGUAGUAUUCCUUUUACUAAGCCUGAUGAAGUGACUUGAGUUGUAACAAAAUGGUGGAAAAUUGCAGGGUAUCUGGUGGUAGGAAUCUAAUGAGUCGUCCAAGAGCAAGACUUGGCUUGAUUGCCUAUUGGCUUCUCUUGCACAUGUGGCUAUUAGCCACCAUUUUGUAAACGUCAAAACAACAGGAAGAAGGAGCUGCAAUUUGGAAGCUACCUGUACAUCAUAGUUAGAACUAUACAUGAUGAUCAACGACGACGAUGAAUCGAAUAGAUGAUGGUUUACCCCGGGGGAGGCUAGGUCAUGGCCUGAGAAAGUAUUCCCCAAUCCGAAACUACACAUGAUUUUUUGACUAUUGUAUUUGGCUUUCUAAGUUUUCUUCAAGGGUUCUUUCUUGAUCUGCUAUAUAAUCAAGUUGUUGGUCAUCAGUUUGCUCUCUGCAAGUCAUGUUUUAGGGCUUCCUGCAGAGGAAUUAGCAAAGAAGGUGGAAAAGGUUAAAUUUGUUAUCUGUGUUUGAUUGUUUGUACGAGAUACAACCGAUGAAUUUUUUUUCCUAAAACUGUGAAUUGUUCAAGUUCCAGUUCUGUCUCAGUCAGAAUCAGUUACUUACUUGUCAAUGACGUAGAUAAUACAAAUAAAAAGUUAAAAUCGAGAAAUGAGUUUAGAAAGGAAGAGACCUCUAUAAAUAACAUGUUAAGAAAAGAAAAAGGAUCCCGCUGCUGGGAUUAUUAACAUACCUAUUACUCACUCAUCUUUUUUGUGACGAUUAUUAACUAUAAUCAUCCCCAUUUCUUAUUACUCACUCAUCGUAUAGAUUUAGUUCCAUCACUAUCCCAAUCAAAUCAUGGUUAUAACCGCUUCCAAUUGUUAUUUAUCGUCAUGCAAAAAUAUACAAAAUGAAACAGAAAAUGCUUCCAACGGAAUAUUAUUGGGUUUCAACUAUUCAAUAAUACGGGUAAAUAGAGGUUAAGUCGCGGGUCGAUCAUCUUUAUGCGUUUGAUUAUGGUGAUGGUACGGUUACUAUGAAACCUAUAAUCUAUCCUUACUCAUUCUGAGCGGUUAACGAUUAUAACUGUAAUUUUAAAAUACGUGAUCAAUGCGAUUAAUAGCUGUCCACGUGUCGUGAACUCAGAACAGACACAGUGAGCGAAGAACAAAGGAAGGAAAAGGUCGAGUCUUUUCUUCACCAAGUAAUGAGAAAUUAUCAUCUCCAACCAAUAUCGGUGGCGAAACGCCGAAGCAGCCAACCCUGAAACAAGUUAUGCCUUUGACGAUCGGGUUAAGCUAUUGCAGCACCACCGCUGCUCUCCUACUAGCAUGGCGGCGAAGCUUCAACCAGUCAAGUGGAAUUCCGAAGUUUCGAACAAAUGCGUCUGGUAAACGGAAGGUGUUCAAGAAGAAACAACGGAUAGAUGAACAAGAGCAAUCACAAGCCGCCGUAGUUUCUUCUGAUAAGGGAUUUGGAUACGACACUCAGCCUCCGGAGGCAAAUGGGUCUGAUUCUGAGCUGCAGAAGGUCAGCGAUGGUGAGAUUGCUGUUCCUUCUAAGGGAGCUGUAAUUCAGGCUUGCACUCUCACUUCUGGGUUCAUUGCUGGCUUCGGGAUAUUACUUCGACAGGUACUCAAAAUCCAGCUCUUCCAAGUUCUUCCCAUGGGGAAAUUAGUAAUACUAAAGAGAAUUUUUCAACGAAUUUGAAAUUCCAACUUUGUUUAAUUAGGUUUCUCAUGUUGCUGCGGAGGAAGGAUUGCCGAUCCUUGACUGCUCAGAACAAGUCUCUUGUAUGAUGAUAACUAUGGACCUUUUUUCACCAUUCAUGUUCUGUCUAAACUGUGUGCUAAUUGUGUUUCAAUUGCAGUUGGUUUACAGAUUUGGCACCUUGGCUUGAUUCUUGGUUUGGUUUUGCUUAUAUCAUCGUCUCGGUACUUGCUGCUGAAGACAUGGCCGGAUUUUGCUGAGUCGUCCGAAGCAGCGAACCGGCAGGUAGGAUUUUAAAUCCUAUUGAUUUUUGGGCAAUGGUGAUGUACAAAUUACAAUGUGGCCCCCAUUGCUAAUUUCAGGUUCUAUCAUCACUUGAGCCACUAGAUUACUUACUGGUUGCAUUUCUUCCUGGAGUUAGCGAGGUAGGAGCUACUAUAGAGACCGGUUUCUUUUAACAUUGUCGAAACUGAAUCAGUAUGGUUAAUGGAUGAUGCUUCCCAGGAGCUUCUUUUCCGCGGAGCCUUGCAGCCGUUCUUUGGAAUGGACUGGAAGAGUGUUCUUGUCGUUGCUGCCAUUUUCGGGGUUCUGCACCUUGGAAAUGGCCGAAAGUACUCCUUCGCUGUCUGGUAAUCGCUCAAUUGGCUAUGCUCGAACUCUGAAUUUCUCGUCUUUAACAUCAGUCUUCUUACUCUCCAGGGCGACCUUUGUUGGUUGCAUCUAUGGUUACUCCGCAAUUGUAUCCUCGAGCAUCAUCGUGCCAAUGGCUUCCCACGCAUUAAACAACCUGGUUGGAGGGGUCUUGUGGCGCAACACCCAAUUCUCAAAGCUCUCAAAGUCAAAGUAGCCUACCUUAUGACUACAAUUUGUUAUGGUUAGCCAUCUUCUUCCUCAAUCUAAGUAGAAAGAUAUAAAGAAGGGUUUUUUUCAUGCUUGAUACAUAUAUUGUUUCGAGAUGUAAGUAGUGAUGAUAUAUGUGGAGGUUCUUAUGCCCCUUUUCGUCUUCUUCGGAAACCAAGAAACUACGAAUCUUAUGUCACAGAGGAUCAUGUGAUUCAUGUUUUCAAUGUGUUGGAAAUGCCUAAUGAAACAAACAGGAUGCAUCCUAAAGAUCGAUCCUUUCUGUAUUAGCUUCUGGUUCUGAGAUUCCCAAGUUUUUAGUUGUUUACACCUUAAUAGUACUGAAGGUAUCCCCCGUGUUUGACGGUCUUAUUGUCACUUGAUGACAAAGUUGCCUCAUGAUCAGUCUCUUUGUUCUUGUCCUCAUGUUAUGGAGAUUAGCCCAAUGACCAACUUUUUGUAGUUAGUAUCUCUACCAACUGGGUUUCUGCUGGAUAGGAAAAUUCUAAUUCUUGUCCGUAUAUAUCCAACAUUCAUGUAUAUCAUUGCAUAUUGAAACACAAGUUCUUAGUAAAAAACAACGACUCAGAGCUCCUUGUCUCCCGCUCACAGUAUGCUAGAGGUAAGCUCAUCUCCAUGUUCAUUUUUCGAUGUCGAACUUUCCUGAGUUUUGAUCGUGUUUCGUGUAAACAGAAGUUCGGAGGGAGGAGAAGGAAGGAGAGGGAAUGGCUGAGGCAAGAAAGGAAGAGGAAGAAGAGGAACAAGAAAAUGAAGAGCAAUAAGAAGAAUGGCAAAGGUAGCAACGAUGGAAGCACAUUACCGAGGUUCGGGGAAUGGGACGAGAACGAUCCCUCGUCAGCUGAAGGCUACAGCGCUGUGUUUGACUUGGUUAGGAAGGAGAAGAACAGUGGUGUUGGCAAUAUGUCGUUCAAGCUGUUCGAUUCAAUCAAUACCAGGAGGCGGCGAAGCAGGCUCCGUAAUUUCCUCAAAUCGUUGAAGGUAAUGUCUUAAAACUGAAAAAGUCAUCCUUGCCGAUUCCACAAUGAUCGUUUGGAGAACUCUGUGUUGAUUAAUGUUUCUUGCUACUGGGGUUUGCAGAGAUGGUGGAUUUGCUUGUGAAAGUAUUUGCAGAAGGAAGGAAGAAUUUGUUUGUUCAUCAUCAUGGGCUUGGGACUAAAAUGUUAAAAAGGAAAAACAUUAGGGGUUAAACUGUGACGAAAUUUUAUUGAUGCACUUCUAUUAAGUUAUCAUUAUUAUACCACCCUGCCACCUAGCCGUCGCUGCUAGGUACUUUUUUUGUUUUAACGACUAUUUAAAUUGCCGUUAUCAAUGCCGUUUGUUCAUCUAAUGUAGGUUAUAUAUUUAUUAUGAUUCUCCGGAAAUAAAUAAAUAAAUAACCGGAAUGUAAUAAUGACUAAUGAAUCAUCAAUUGUGAAUUUAUUUAUCCCGCUUGUGCGUUGCACCUCCUAAGUUAACUAUUAUAUAUUCUACGGGAUGAAUUUUUAUAAUCAAUAUGAAUCACGUUGAGAUUUUCGGUCCAAACAAAAUUGUGAAUUUAUUUGUACGAUUAAUCUCAAAUAGGUGGCCACUUUAAGUUCAUUGUAGGGAUCUUUCAUCGAUCUACGCAUAAAAAAUUUAAAGAUCGAAGUUCUAAAUCAACAACACUCUCAUACACGUAUACUAAGAUAUUGAUCAGUUGAAUUUAUUUACCGUAUCUCUCCCUCCAUACCAUACCUCUUUUCUUCCAAAAGAAAUAUUGGAUCAAACUCAAAAUCACUCGAUGUCCGGUGUUACACUCGUUGACAGCCUCAACUAACUCGAUUAAGAGUUAUGAUUGUCGAUUUCACUUCUUUGAAUUUCUUUGUUGUCACUUUUUUUGGUAUAAAACUAUUUAUUAUCUGCUCACUUUCAUAUUUUGAGUAAUUACUAACUAGUGGAAAUAAAUUUUGUGUCGGAUUAGCCACCCAAAAAGGUUAUCGAUAUUAACCUGGCAUCUUGUUAAUUAUUUUCUUACAAAAAAUAAAUCUCAUUUUUUUAAAUAUAUUUUCAGGUAGUUUAACUAAUCUAGAUUUUGAUUAUAGUUUUAUGGCAAUCUAGACACGAAAGUACUCCGUUAACUGUUUUCGAUAAUCACUUAUAUCUUACUAUCUUUUUUUUUAUUCGAGAUAAAAAACAACAAAAUAAAGAAAAGCAAACAUGACACAAAUGUCCAUUUAUAAAAUGUAAUUAGAAUUGAAACCCGAGAUCUCUCACACGCAAUACUCCACUUGAACAUACAAAUGCUGCAUAAUAAUAAUACAUCUUAGUAAAACACAAACGGCACACAUGAAACCUACCAACCAAACCUACAAAUUAAUCCAUGUACGUAGUCUUAAUUGAUUGUUCAGUGUAACUGCCAUCCAACAAAACAUUAACUCUUUUGAUCGGUGGACAUAAAAUGUUCAGUUUGGUUACUAAAUGCACCUAAUAAUAUAUUUGUAACUUGUUCAAUCAUUCAUUUUUCAUUCACGUCCGCUCAGAUUUUAAUUCCGCGAAUCUCCGAUCAUCCUCUCCUCCGACGGUUUUUCCGGCCAGACUAGCUUGUAGACCAUUUUCUCACUGUCUUAACUCUAAUUAAUACUAUUAAUCAUUUUUAUUAUCGAGAUAACUUAGGGUUUUCAAUGCAGUUUUUGAUUUGUUCCAUGUUUUGUAUUCGUCCUUUGAGAAAAAAUAGAACAUCUUUGACAAGCAGCCUUGGGUGUUGGAUCAAUCAAUCUUGCAACUAGCGGAAUUCGAAACAACUCUAAUGUCGCUGCAAAUGUAAGACACAAAUUCCUCAUGAAGCACCUACCGGGAUCGUGUUUUUAAUGAACCUCUCGACAGUAUAGGCGAUUAUGAUCACUCAGGCGUUUUUUAUUUCAUGUAAUAGGUAAAAAGAUUAAAAUAUUUUGAAUUAAAAAAUUACUUCAUGCAAUCUGUUUUUAUUAGAACAAUCUAUUUUUACUUCGUACAGUUCAUUUUUAUUAAUUACACGCUAUUUUUUUUAAUAUUCGUAAGAUAUAUUUAUUUAAUUUUGUUAUUUAUAAAUUUUGAAAAGAAAAAUAGAAAUAAAUUUUGAAAAUAAAUCCUUAUUCUUUUGACAAAAAAUCGGGGUUGGCGAUGGUUUUUUCGGGACGAGAGGAUGUUAUGGUUGAACAAAGAGUGAACGUGCUGCAGCUAGACGAGGAAGAACAGACGGCGACGUUCGAGGGUAUCCAGAAAUACUAAAAAAUCUAGCACCGGCAGGCCUGAACAGGUCCUGCCACGAGGAGUGAUUCGGCGGCAAUAACUCAGUUGAGGUAUUGGUGCCCCAAUUCGGGCUCCACCGGUCGUUUCUUGUUUUAUUAGUAUCGAUUUUGUUUUUCGUUUUGAACAAUUAUUUCUUACUUUCUGUUAUCGCAUAGAAGUUAGCGCCUGCAAUUUUAACCUUCGUUCAAGAUUUUUUAUUAUAGGGAUUAUUGAAGUACGCAUGUGGUAGUUCAUGCUACUUAUUUAUGGGUCCGGAUUUCAUUCGUUAAAAGUAAUAUUCCUCCAUAAUAAUAGUUUGACAUAUUGAAUAUUAUUUUGACCAAGAGUUUAAUAAUAUAAAUAGACUAGUUUCGAAAAAAUAAAUGCAUUCGACUGUUUUUAUAUUUUUCAUACAAGAAAAAAGAGAUUUUAUAUCAUUAAUGCUACCUUGCUUUCAUUUCACAUUUCCCAAUGUUUUUCUGUGACGUAUGAGUAGGAAGCCGUCAUUAAUUCAAUGUUAACUAAUAACUACUAACUGAUACCAACAUAAUUAAAGAAUCAUACGUACCAACAAAAAUAGCACAUAGCACAAAAUUUGUACUUGUUGAUGUGUUGUUUUGUAUUGGUGAUUAAAAGUUUUAUUAGUCCGUAAUCGGGUUCACUCGAUGAAAAUCACUCAAUUAUUAACGGAGAGUAGUUGAUUUAAGACACAACUCAAAAUGAGGUCAAAAUAAAAGUGUCCAUUUUCAAAAUGGCAUUAUGUUUUUAAGAUUCAAAUUAGGAACUUCCCAAUCUGAAUCUCAAAGCCAUCAAGUCAUCAGAUAAUAAAUUUAGAAUGACUCAAGGCACUAAAAUGAACUCUAUAUAUAAUUCAAAAGGAACUUAAGUGCAUAAAAAAGAUAAUCAACUUCUAUAUACAUAAAAGUUUAUGUAAUGUUAGAAAUUUAAAUUUGAAAUUUGCUAGGGAAUGGUCCGCAAAGUCAAGCAUUGGAUUCGUCUAGUGAGACGAAUCCAUCUUUCGAUUGAGAAUAUUUGUAGUGAAAGAAACUAAUUUUGGUUUAACACUCGAAUUCUUAACCAAUUUAAACUAGAGGGAGGAAAACAAAAUUUUGAGCUCCUAACUCAAAAUUUAAUGAGUAUUUUUUGUUGGAUCGGUUGAAUCAAACAUGAACCGAACCGGGUCCAUUUCGACAGGUAAAGAACAUUGGAAAAUAGGUAGUCUAUUACUAGGUUUGUUGUUCGAAUAUACGAAACCUAAAAUAAGAUUAAUAAGCAAUUGGUCCAAAGGGAGGGAAUUGGAGUGAAGACAUGCCGAGUAGGAUGUCUCGUGCACGAAAUGAUGAAAUCAAUUAGGUGAGCUAACUAUUACCUUGUGGAUCCACAAGGCUGUGAAUCUUUGUAUCAAACCUUUUAUAAACUUACUUAACAAGUUAUCAAUAAUAUCCGUCAAACAAGUUAUAAUCGAGUGAAUAUAGCACUUAACUAAAAAUCCUUUAAAACACUAUAUAUAUGUUACAUGUGGUGAAUUCUUGAGUAUACCUGCUAUAUCGAAAUUUUUGGUGUGUCCAAUUUUUUUUUGGUAACAUAAAUCCAUCACCACCGUCCAUUUUCAGUUUGCGAUCUCGACGGUUCACAAUUAUUCACAUAUAUAUAUAUAUAGAGAGCGGUUUGGUACCCUAGAAGUACCGGUACCCUCUAUACUAACAAUCUUAUAUUUUUAAAGUUUAAAAUUCAAAAAUUAAAUUCUAAAGUCCUUAUAGUAAAUCCUAAACAAUAAAGAAUGGUGCUAACACUCUAAAUACUAAAUCCUAACCUUCAAACACUACAUCAUAAGCCCAAACUCAAAAUCAUAUCAUAAACUCUAGCUUUUGACCAUAAAUCAAAAUUAAUAGAUCUUAAACUCUAUAUAUCAAACUCUAGCCCUCAGCACUAUACCCUAAUCCUAAACAGAGACCUUCAACCUCAAAAAUCAUAAUUUUAAACACAAAAUAUAGCAAAAUUUAACAUAUAGGGUACUGAUACCCUCGUAGUACCGAAGCGUUUUCCAUUAAAUAUAUAUAUGUGUGUGUGUGUGAAACUAGGACUGUAUAGUUACGUUAUUGUUGACAGAUCAGAAUUCAGUAUUCCUCCUAUUGAGAGGCUUAUGGUAACAUCAUUCAUCGCUUUCUCUUGUCAUUCAUCUUUCUAUCUUUCGACGGACUCUUAUUCGGUGUAAAAAAAGAUUAGGGUUUCUGAAGAAAAGCCAGUUAGGGUUUUUUCUUGAAGGAAAAAAAAGGUUGGAGUUAUUUGUUUCUUUUCCCCCGAGACAAAUCGAAGAUAGCAAUGGUGUAGCCAGGACGAGACGAUGAUGAAGAUGAAUGAGGAAAGGAUGCGUUGCAGCUGUACGAAGAAGAACCGACAGCGACCUUCAAAGGUAUCCAGGAACACCCAAAAAACCUGGCAACGAAAGGCCUCUCCGGGUCCUGCCACACAGACUAAAUUGCUAGCAACUACCCACUCGAGAUCUCGACCCUUUUGAGUGUUUGAUGUUUUGGGUGUCCCCAGUUCGGGCUCCAUCGAUCAUUUGUUGUUUCUUAUUUUUGGAUGUUUCCUGCUUUUUGAAUAAAUAUUUCUUUCUUACUUUUGCUUUUGGGUAGAGCUUAGAGUCUAGUUGUCCGCCUCCGGUCAAGGUUUUCUAUGUUGGAUCCUUUAGUCAAUUUGAAAUUAAGCGACCGGACAAUUCACUUUGCAACUUCACAAGCUUCGUCCGAAGUAUCGUAAACAUAGUCGGAUAAAAAUCUAUCGGUGUAAUUGAUUCUAUCACCCUUAUUCACCGAUGACUCUCCCUACACACAAAACGUACGCUACAUUUAUCAGUUGUGUACCCAUCUUCGUAUUCAUUCACUUAUUUCUUCAACAAAAUUAACGACCACUUACCGAAUUACUCAUGACGAGUUAAUGCAUCCAACGUACGUUAAAACCAUCCGACAAAUGUUAUUACCUGAAAAACAAUUAAAUGAGGUCAUUAAAAAAUUAAAAAAAGAAUUCAAACCGGCCCGACCGAAAUGUAGAAAAAUGAACCGUGAGAUAAUUUUUUGAGAAAAUAAAUUUGAACAAUGUCGCAUUUAUAAAGUUUAAAACGUCAUUUUAUUCAAAAGGUAGAGCGUCAAAUAACGAUCCAGCAAACACCAAAAAUACCUCGCAAGUGAUUGGCCCUCUUUAUGACCUACAUUUUCAAAGAUACAGUUACAUAACUAAUACAAGGUCUUCUUCCAUUAAUUAAUCUAACUCCGAGAUCAACGAUAAGUUAGUCGACUAUUCAGAAGAUGAACCUAUAAAAGUUUGAACUUGCAUAGGCAUUCUGUUUCAUACACUCUAUUUCUCUGACUGUGUCUCUGCCUGCCCACGUUCCGUUAUGGCCAGCUGAGCUCUGUCGACAUCUAGUAGUUUAAUGCGGUGGUUUUCAGCUCAGCUACUUCCCUAACUCCACCCAAUCCCUCCUUCUCUCUUCGUACUCUCCGCCUUCAGAUCUCCACUCUUAUAUCAAUCAAACCCAAAAUCCCCCAGAUUCCUCGGAUCCAGCAAAAAAAAUGGAGGCGGCUAACCAGCUCUACAACAUCCUCGACACCUUAAAGGUCCAGCCUUUCUACAUCCUAGCCCUCUUCACACUCGGAACCCUCACGACCCUCAAGUUCCUCUACUCCCUCCUCUACUGGGUCUACGUCAAUUUCUUGCGGCAGGGAAAGAAUCUGAAGAAGUACGGAUCAUGGGCGGUCGUCACCGGCGCCACCGACGGAAUCGGAAAAGGUUUCGCCUUUCAGCUCGCACGCAAGGGUAUUAACUUGGUCAUCGUGGGGCGGAACCCUAGCAAGCUUAAAGAAGUCUCCGACUCGAUCGGAGCGAAGUACUCUGUCGAAAUUAAGACGGUGGUCGUCGACUUUUCCGGCGACAUCGACGGCGGGGUGGAGAGGAUCAAGGAGACGAUUGGAGGGCUGGAAGUUGGAAUUCUGAUUAACAACGUCGGGGUUUCGUACCCUUACGCUAGGUUCUUCCACGAGGUUGAUGAGGAGCUGCUGGGGAAUCUGAUUAAGGUGAACGUUGAAGGGACGACCAAAGUUACUCAGGCGGUUCUGCCCGUGAUGUUGAAGAGGAAGAAGGGGGCUGUUGUGAAUAUUGGGUCUGGUGCUGCCAUUGUUAUCCCUUCUGAUCCGCUCUAUGCUGUUUAUGCUGCUACUAAAGCGUAAGCCUUUUGUUUCGAUUCAAGCUACUUCUUGUUUGAUUUAUCAUAUGGUGCAAGCGUGGUUGAUUUUGAGGAUUUGGGUUGUUUUUGUUUCAGGUACAUUGAUCAGUUCUCUAGGUGUUUAUAUGUUGAGUACAAGAAGAGUGGGAUUGAUGUUCAGUGUCAGGUAAAAAGCUCUAACCUUUGGUCAUGGUUCAUGUAUGGGAUCGAGAAUUAGAGUAUGUACAAGGAUAGGGAAAUGGUCGUGAAGCGUUUGCUAGAAGUUAGAGAAUGUUAGAUUAUCUUGUCUGCUACUUAUAUUUGGUGGACUCUGGCAACUCUAUUUGGGAAAGUCAGAAUUUCGUACUUGGAGGAGUAAGCUUAGUAAAAGGUUUUCUCUUUUGUCAAACUACCUGUUAGCUUCAAAUGUGGAGUAGUUUUAGUGAUUGCAGAAGUUAGAAUAGUUUGGUGUAAGAGUUUCGGAUGUCUGAUAUGUACGGAUACGUUCAUGUAAUGAUGUCUAGGUGUAUGUACAUGUGUUUGUACGUUUCAAAUUCCCGAUUUCAUUCGCACAUGAUCUGGCACCAGGCUGUAUCUGUGAUGAUUCGUGUGUUUUGAACUAGUACUGCUGUCUAGGCUUGUGCUUUCUGGUAUACGGAAAACUUCGCAUUCUCUGAUAGAGUUUCGAUCCGUUUGAUAGCUCUUAACAUUGUUUGCUAAAUGCAGGUUCCACUCUACGUGGCGACAAAGAUGGCCUCCAUAAAGCGAUCAUCCUUCUUCGUGCCAUCGAACGAGGGCUAUGCCGAGGCAGGACUGCGUUGGAUAGGUUACGAGCCUCGCUGCACCCCUUACUGGCCACAUUCUUUCCUCUGGGCUCUCAUCCACACCUUGCCGGAAUCAGCAGUCGAUGCAUGGAGGCUGAAGUUCUGUAUGGGGAUCCGUAAGCGAGGCCAGCGGAAGGAUGCAAUGAAGAAAGACGAGUGAAGAUCUUCAGUAUGGUCAUAACACGGGAAUCAAAAUAGAACCGGAUCUUUGCAUAAGAAAAAAACACAGAACUUUGUAGUUGGGAGCUGGUGGUUACAUUUUACUUAGUUGGAGACUGGUGUGUUUUCUUUGUUUCGUUCUUGGGGUGGGGAUUGGAACAUGGGAAUCUCCAAAAUCUGAGGAAUGAUUUAACAGUUAAUAAUAACAUGAUGAUUAGUUUAUGUUACAAAAAUGCUUGUUGCGUGUGAUGUUUCCUUAAACGUGGGAGGUGGCGUUGGUACACCUAACUGAGUACAGAUCGUGUGGUGAAUCUUUUUCUUUUGUUUUUGACGAAUCAGGUCACAAGUUUGGUGAAUCAAAAUCACAAGUUCUUUGCUUACAUACAUAGCUGUAAAUUUGGGGGAAAUAAAUGAUAUUCAAAAUCACAAGUUCCUUGCUUAGAUAUAGCUGUAAAUUCUGGAAAAGAACUUGUACUCUGGAAGUCUGAACUUCAAAUUUUAACAUUUUUUCUUUCCGGGGAAGCCGGAAAAGAUAAAUUUGCGGUGAGCGUGGAUCGAACACGCGACCUUCAGAUCUUCAGUCUGACGCUCUCCCAACUGAGCUAUCCCCGCUUAAUGGGUCGUACCAUACAUUUAUAAAGUUUUGUCAGAAUAGUGGAAUGUGAGAUGAACAAACUAUGAAUCAAAGGCGUGGCGUGAGAUGAAACGGACUAAUUAUCUUCCUACUAUGUUGUUUGAUAAUGCUCUAACCACUAAUCAUUUCUUUAUUUUAUUUUCUUUUCUCCUUAUUUAUGUCUUUUUAUCUUUUUGUGCAUGAUUCACUCUAAUCACCUUUUCCCGCCUGUUAAACAUAUAACUCAUGCCUCAUUAUGCAUAGCUAGUGCUUUGAAACCCAAACCAAACCGAAAAACCCGCAUUUUGAUCACCAAUUCGGUUGGAAUCGACAAAACCGAACACCACGCCUUUGACUUGGUUGCGAGCUAGCCAAUCCUAGUUUCUACCCUAAUCGAUCACUGAUUUAGCAUUUUCUAUAGACUAGUCAGUUAAUAUAAUUUACUUAAUACUUAUGUACAGCUAUACUUGUUGCUCAAGAUAGCUUCUCACAUGAAAACAAACACAAAGAAUACUAGGGUGAUGAAGGCAUUACUAAUUAAAUGCAUGCAUGAGCAACCAGAAAGCAUAAUUAAUUAAUCAACUAAUCCUUCACCAGUACUGGUGUAAAUAUAAAUGCAGAGAUUCCAAAUAUUGGAUCGUAGCUGGCACACAUAUAUCGUACGACGUUACAACCAACAACCAACCAGCUAGCAGCUGCAUUUCUUCAUAAAUAAUGUCACCAACUUUGUCUCUCUAUACUUUUGGUACCACAUAUGCAUACAUAUGUUCAUUUUUAUCUUGCAUGUAUAUAUAUAUAUAUUGGAUAAAGAUCUUGCAUGAAUAUUUACGACGCAUCAGUUGAUGGUUACAUUUUUUUUCUAACGUAUUUGAAAGUAUUCAAAAGGUACUGAAAUCAUGGUUGAAUUACUGAGAUAUAUUUAUUACGAUUCGACGUUAGAAAUAGUACUAAUCCUGUUGUUUACGAUCCAUAGUUGAAAACUUAGGCUCGAGACUAAGGAAAAAUCUCCUUGACCCACUGCUAGAAAUGCAAAGUUCAACUACAACAACAUAAUACCAUACUCUACCUCGAAUUCCAUGUGAUAUGAUAUUUGAUUCAAUCUCGAAACCUCUCAUAAUUAGUAGCCUCACAAUAGGAUAUUAUAACGGUAAACACAAACAAAUAUUAAUGACGUAAUGCAGCGGAAAAUUAGCGGUAAAAAUAAAAUAAAAUAACUCAAAGACACUCGCAUUCUCUAACGUAUAUCAAUUAUCAACAACUAACCAACGAAAUCGUAACUAAACCAAAAACCAACAAAAUCACCGUAACAAAAUUACAAUUCUAUCCAUAAGCAAAAUAAACAAAAAGAAUUCUCAUCGUAAUCGUGACGCUUUAACGUCCGUUAAUUCACCCACCGCCGCCGGCGUCACCUUCUUCUUUCUAAACACAAUCUCCGUAUCCAAUCCGAACCCGUCAACUUUCCGCCGAUAAACAACCUCCGACUCCUUAAACAUCUCCACUACCGCCUCCAAUCUCAGCACAUCAUUCGCCGAGUACUUAUCCGACCGCCGCGACACCGCCACGUGCAGAACACAUACCCCACCUGGCUUCAGCGUCCGCUCGAUCUCCCCGACGAACUUCUCCGGAUAAAGCGCGUGAUCGAACACGUUGGAGAAUUCAAAGUCAAACGUCUCAUCAUCAAACGGCUGCGAAUGAAAGUCGCCCUUGACGACCAACGGCGGAGAUGGGACGAGGUCGAUCCCGAUCGAGUCGGACACUCCGACCCGCUUCAGGGCCUCCACCUCCUGCCCGACCCGAGCCCCGACGCAGAGGGCCUUGGAGUUGUUGGAGAGGAGGUUUUCAGAUUUGAGGCGGGCGAAGAACUUGGAGAAGACGUUGAUUUUGCGGUCCCAGUCGCGGGUCUUCCAUACCCGGCGGAGUUUCGGGUUGAGGGUCUUGUUGAGCUGGCGGUUGAUGUAGGAUUCGUAGGUGGUGUAGCCGGGUCGGAUCCGGAUACCGGGAGUUGACGGUUGGGGUUGUUGGUGGGGGCGGUGGUUGAGGGGGAAGAGGAAGAGGAGGAGAGGAAGGGAGAGGAAUAAGGUGAGGAGGAAGUAUUUGAGGAUCGGCGGUGGCGGGUUUUGCUUCAUCGUCAUUGAUCGAUUGAUGAUCUUCCGUUAUUUUGCAUGUGUGGAUUGAAUUGAUGAAAUUCCUUUUGUUGAUUCUAUUUAUUUAUUUAUUUUGUGGAUGAUCAGAGAAUGUGUGUUGGGGAAUUUUGAGGUGGGAAGGGAGUUGGGUUGUGUGAUACGGUUCAAGGGUUUAUUAUCGAUGUUGUAUUAUGGGUGGGAGUUGGGUUGGCAUCGAAUUUGGUCUGUUGAUCGAAUCGAUUUUGGAUAGGGUUUAAAUGGUUUUGGUUGUAAAGGGUUUUUCUUCGGUUUGAUUUUUUGUUCAGAUGAGAAAAAUUGUUGGUCUUAAUUGUAGGGUGAGAAUAGGAACCAAAUCUCGACUGUUAUUAGUAUGCAUUAUACAAAAGGCAGUCAUGAAUUUAUGAUCAUAACUACAGCUAUCCGUGUUUGCGAUUAUAAACGUGAUUGGUCAAUCAUAACUCUACUAUAACGAACUUUAGAACAAUGAUGCUCGUAGAUUUAAAAGAGUGACAAGCCGACAGACUAGAAGACGUAAUCCUUUUUUACUAUAACCAUACAUACAAAUAAUUUACCGUAACAUUGAUAUUUAACUCCAUAGUCAGGUUUAAUGCAGCGGCCCCACCCCACUGAUUUGCAAGAAGAAGUCAAUUACCGGUUCGUCUCGGUCGACUUUCAGCUUUUGUAAGCUGUAACGUGAUUAGGAGGAAUAUGGACAAUAGAGAGAAUUUGGUACGUGGUGGGGAGGGGAAGGGGAGAGCCAAUGAGGGGAAGACACGUGGGGAGGAAGUGGACAUGCAGAGGUCCAAUUGUGCUGUGUGGGAAUUUUGUUGGUAUCUAAAGAUUGUGGGACGGUGGGUGACCGAUGUUUACAAGGAUAACAAUAUGCUUCUUGGAUGAGUAGUGCAUCCAUGAGGUCAAAACAUCGACAAGUCCAAACAUGGGCGGAUAUUCACCGGUAGCUGUUUUGUUGGUGUUGUUGUAUGUUCCGAUUAUAGAGUUUUUAUUAGUCGAGAUAAAUUGAAAUCCCAGAUGCGUGAGUUAAAUAUCGGAGAAUGCAAAGUGGGAUAAUGAAAGUUAGAAAGUGAUGAUCAUCUAUCAACCCUUACCAUACAUGAAUUCAGUAAUGGGUGUUCUAGCCUUCAUUCUUAUAGUUUUCUUAAAAAAACCUAACCACAUUUCAGUCGGCAUGGACAAUGAUUGUGUCAUACCACAAUUAGAAUAAAAAAUCACUCUAUGUCUUACUGCCAAAUUCGAAUAUAAAGAACAACAAAUUCAUGAAUGGGUUAAUAGAAGGAGAAAGCAAGUUACAUGUUGAUUAUCCUCGUUUAUUAUUUAUUUUGAAAGGUGUAAAGCUAGAAAAAAAAGCUUGUGAGUGGGGCAAAUUUCAAAGGAAUAAAGAACCCUACCUCUUGAGUUAAAGAGGAGAAGUUGAUAAGCUUGGAAGUGAAGAAAUAACAACUAGUGGACUAUAUCAUUUAUAAAAUAAUAAUAAUAUAUUAGUGGACUAAAUGAAUAUAAAAGAAUAACCAUCCUGCCAUCUCAAGUUGAAGUUAAUUUAUGAGAGAAAAACCGUUCUGCCACAAAAUGACAAAUUUUUUAUGAGUCGACGAUUUUUUAUUUCGACGUGACAAAGUGAACAACCAACAAUAUCCAUAAACAUUUGUAACCGUUUGCACAAUUUCAUGAUUUCUUAUUGUGCAGUUAUUCAAAAAUCAUGGAAAUGAAAAUGACUGCUGCAAUCAUUCAAUUUGAUCAACUGUCUCAAAGUUUCUCAAGAACGAUUUGCAGGCCAUAACGAGGACAGCUCGUCAAAACCUGAGCCGGGGAAUGUACAUACUUAUCCGAGAGCCUAAGCCUGUAACGCUGCAGGAUCAUGGCAACUGCAAUCUUCAUUUGUGUCAUUGCAAAGUUCAUACCAACACAAGCCCGUGGCCCCAAACCGAAAGGCAUGAACGUCGCCGAUGCCUUAGCUACUGCCCCUUCCGCAAAUCUAUCUGGUCUGAAUAGCUGAGCGUCUUCCCCCCAUACCUCAGUCCUGUGGUGAAGCGCUAGAACCGGAAUGUAAACUUCGGUCCCUUUCGGAAGUAGUAGUUUCCCUGGACCGAGUCGUACUUGAUCUCGCUCGACUCUCCUUGAAACGUGGAAGAACGGUGGGUAUAGCCUCAAAGAUUCGUUGAUGAUCAUGGUCAGCUGUGGAAAAAAAUACACGCGGCAUGAGUUCUACUUCUGUAAUUAACAACCACACUCAAACGGCUAAAAGGAGCUAAAGUUUGCAUAGUUUCAUUAAGUCAUAUGCAGUCAUGUGAAGACUCUAACAUCACGUCAAGAACCAUUGCAUCCCAAUAACUGAGGAGGGUCAAAACUGUUUCAGACAUGUUGACUUACGAUGGAUAGUCUAGAGAUGCUAUCAGGAGUUGGGGAUGUGUCAUUUCCGAAUAGUUGAACUACCUGAUCCCUGGCUUUCUCUUGCCACUCCGGGUGAACCGCUAGCAGGAGUACUGUCCAGGUCAGCGAGCUCGUGGCGGUUUCGUGGCCAGCCAAGUAGAAUGUCUUGCAUUCGUCAACCAGAUCAUCCACUGUGAUUCUCUUCUUCAUGUCAGGAUCGGUGUAGGCCUUGAGAAGCAGAGCAAGGAAAUCAGUUGCAGAAGCAGCACUGCUGUUGUUAUUCUCUUUCUCUCUUUUGGCCACCAUGUUGAUUAUGAUGGCUUUGAUCGCUUGCCGGAGAACAGCUGAUUCAUGCUCGUCCCCUUUCCUGAAAAUGAUUCUGCUUCCAAGGCACAAAAAUAAAAAAUUAAAACAGAAGAUUCAGGUUUGGUAUAUAUUCGGGAUGAAAUAAACCUCAGGAUAGCAAAGAUAUUUCCUGACAGGUGUAAUUAACCUGAGGAUGGUCGAGAUUCCUGGAAUCCUGACACCGUACUCGCUCCGUGAGAAGAUCGAAACCAUCUCCGUCAGCAGCUCGAAAACCUUUUGUCCUUCCAAGUAGCUGCUCCCAAAAGCAGUCCUGGAUAUAAUCUCUGAUGUCAGGACUCUAAGCUCCUGAAAUGCAUCAAUCUCAUGAUUUAUGUUUUUCCAUCUUUCGAGCAUCAUCUCGACGCUCGCAAUCAUGGCCGGAACCAUGCUCUGAAAAAGAGGGGAAAAGUAAACAACUUCAGUUUCGAAAACAUUCCUGAGAAAACCUACGAGUGCGCUCGUUCUUCCCCCUGCACUAGACUGUUAAUGAAUAAUAUAAAUUUAAUCUUGUACCUUUUCCCAACAACUCCGAGACAAUUAUGUUUUGGUAAAGAAAACUGUUGUUAAACAGACAAAGUCUUACCUUCAAGCUUUCUCCAUGGAAGGCAUGGUUGGCGAGCCUGCGCACCUUCACCCAUUUCUCGCCUCUAGACACGACGAGUCCAUCUCCUAUCAAGUCUUUCAAGAGAACUAGAAAUGCAUGCUUCUCAUAAGAUCCAUCUUUGCUGGUGAGCACUUCUUUGAUUAGCUCUGGUUCAGUGACUACAAGUUGUGGCCUGCUGCCAUACCACUGCAAAUAGUUCUUCCCUGAUAAUAACACACUUGCUCAACAAACGAAACGAACUGGUUCUUAACAUGGUAUGAAAAAAGAGAAUCAUUGUUAGAAUAAUGGUUUAAUUAUUACUUACCAUAGAGCUCCGUCCAAGAGUAGAUGUGAAGCUGGAGUCUUGGAAAUAUAUGGUUGGACAACUCCACCAUGGGGGUCUGUGUAGCUUGAAUUCUCAUUUGUGCUAUCUCUCUAGUGUUGCCAUGGAAGAAUCUGUAAGGAGGGCCUUUGAUCCCUUGCGAUCUCAUCUGGGAUUGGACUCGAAUCGGUGUCCACCAUGUUCUGUUCAGGAACCUGGUGAUGAUCAACACCAAGUAUGAACAGAGGCAGGAAGAAAGAAAGAUCAACAGAGUUCCCAGUUGAAUCAUUUCUCUGUUUGGUUUGUUUGUCAAAUAAUUGACAACAAUAAUUUACUUCAGUUGUAACUGGUUUUCCUUGAAUUUUUCUCUUCAUAAUGGCACGGUAUAUAUGUAUAUACAAUAUGCUAAGAGUUUGCUUGCCUUGUUGCAGGAAUAUUAUAAGCUUUUUUAGUGCUUGAUGGAUAACCAAUGCCAUGAUUUGCAGGUUUUAAAUAAAAAAUAUGAACAUGCAUGGUUUCCAUUCACUCAAACCUCGGCCUGCACAACCAAGGAAGAGACAACACAUGAACUAACAAGGCAGGCAGGCAGCACCAAUCUGGCUAAACCGGCCAUGCAAACUUACCAUCAAAAGGGAAAAAACAAACCGUACCGACCGCCAAGAUCCUGCCAAACUAAAAUCAAUAUAUAUAUAAAAACAAAACCGGCGGCCUGGAAGAUGCGCAUCCAGUUCAUAUCUUUCCAUGCCACAAUAAACUCACCAACGGAGGACUGAUUCGGGCCAUGGAUGGAAAGUUUUGAACUAAUCCUAACCCAAAUAGAUGAAGAGAACUUCAUACCGGAGAGACAAAUGGUCCACCGAUUCAAGAUCUUUACAACAUGGCACACCGAUUGGCCAACCAUAACCCUCACAUUUGAAAGAUCAAGAAUCCCUACAUCCCCAAAACAAUGGAGGUAUUACGUUGAUGGAAGACACUCGUCAAAAAAUCUAAACCCGAGAAUAUAUGGAGAAUCAGAUUUUUGUGUUUCGAUGCAAACAAACAAACAUACACUAUAGGGAGAGCGUACUGUAGCAAGAAGGCAAGCAGUUAGAAAAUGUUCUUUCAUCUUAGCUCUAUUCUGGAUGAAUUAUAGAUCAAUUCAAAACUUCCACUUAGAAAAUUUCGAAUAGGUGAUCCUCCUAUUCAAAUACAUUACUUAAAAUCACUCAUAACCGCAGCCCAGAGUGGCCUAAAACACCAUUCAGCUUACCCAUUUAUUCCAACAUUUAGCAGGGCACAUAUGAUGCUACAAUGAUCAUUUGAUCAAUUGUCUCAAAGUUUGUCAAGAACGAUUUGCAGGCCAUAGCGAGGACAGCUAGUCAAAACCUGAGCCGGGAAAUGUACAUACUUAUCCGAGAGCCUAAGCCUGUAACGCUGCAGGAUCAUGGCAACUGCAAUCUUCAUCUGUGUGAUUGCAAAGUUCAUGCCAACACAAGUCCGCGGCCCCAACCCGAAAGGCAUAAACGUUGCCGAUGCCUUAGCUACUGCCCCUUCUGCAAACCUCUCCGGUCUGAAAAGCUGAGCGUCUUCCCCCCAUGCCUCACUCCUGUGGUGAACUGCGAGAAACGGGAUGUGAACUUCUGUCCCUUUCGGAAGUAGUAGCUUCCCUGGCCCCAAUCGUACUUGAUCUCGCUCGACUCUCCUCGAUACGUGGAAGAAUGGUGGGUAUAGCCUCAAAGAUUCGUUGAUGAUCAUAUUCAGCUGAGAAAAAAGAAUACACAGGGCGUAAGGGGGUUCAUAUUGACUUUUAUAUCAUUAGUCAGAGAGUUGACUUACAAUGGACAGUCUAGAGAUGCCAUCAGGAGUUGGGGAUGAAUCGUUGCCGAACAGUUGAACCACCUGAUCCCUGGCUUUCUCUUGCCACUCUGUAUGAACAGCUAGCAGAAGUACUGUCCAGGUCAGCGAGCUUGAUGUCGUUUCGUGGCCCGCCACGUAGAAUGUCUUGCAUUCGUCAACCAGGUCAUCCAUUGUGAUCCUGUUCUUUAUGUCCGGAUCGGUGUAGGACUUGACAAGCAUUCCAAGGAAAUCACUUGCAGAACUAGUACUGUUAUUGUCUUCUCUUCUUUUGUUCACCAUUUUCAUGAUGAUGUGUUUGAUCUCUUUCUGGAUAACAGCCGAUUCAUGCUCAUCUCCUGUUCUGAAAAUGAUUCUGCAUCCAAAAACAGAAAAAUUCAGGUUUGGUAUUGGGAUGAAAUGAACCUCAAGAUGGCCGAGAGAGAUUUUCUUGAGAGGGGUAAUUAACCUGAGGAUGGUGGAGAGUCCUGGAAUCCUGACUCUAUACUGGUUUCGCGAGAUGAUCGAAACCAUGUUGGUCAGCAACUCGAAAACCUUCUCUCCUUCCAAAUAGCUGCUUCCAAAAGCUGUCCUGGAUAUCAUCUCUGAUGUCAGGAUUCUGAACUCCUGAAAUGCAUCAAUCUCAUCAUUAAUGUUCUUCAACCUUUCGAGCAUCAUCUCGACGCUCGCAACCAUGGCCGGAACCAUUCCCUGCAGAAGCAGAAGAAAAUCAAGGAAUUUUAAAAAAGCUUCGGCUCCUGGCCCAAACUGCCGUUAGACAUCGUAGCAUUGGAGCCACUGUUAGGAUGUUGAAAAACUUCCGUUACACUGUCUAUUUCUUGUAGUGCACACUGCACUGGACUACACUGUUAAUGAAUAAUAUAAAAUUAACUUUGGACUAUCUUUCAACAACUCAGAAUUAUUGAGACACAAUUGAUUACUGUCUCUGUGUAAAACUGUCAAAGACUUACCUUCAAGCUUUCUCCAUGGAAGGCAUGGUUCGCGAGCCUGCGCAUCUUUACCCAUUUCUCGCCUCUGGACACGACGAGUCCAUCGCCUAGCAAGUCUUUCAUGAAAUCCUGAAAUGCAUGCUUCUCGUAAGCUCCAUCUCUGGUGGUGAGCACUUCUUUGAUUAGCUCUGGUUCAGUGACUACAAGUUGUGGCCUGCUGCCAUACCACUGCAAAUAGUUCUUCCCUGAUCACAACAACACACUAAUUACUCAACAGGACGAGCAAACUGAUUUUUGACAUGGUAUAAGAGAUCUACGUUUAAUUGCUUACCAUAAAUCUGGGUCCAAGAGUAAAUGUGAGGCUGGAGUCUCGGGAAGAUAUGAUGGGACAAAUCCACCAUGGGGGUCUCUGUAGCUUGAAUUCUCAUCUGUGCUAUCUCCCUGGUGUUGCCAUGGAAGAAUCUGUAAGGAGGGCCUUUGAUCCCUUGCGAUCUCAUCUGGGAUGGGACCCGAAUCGGUGUCCACCAUGUUCUGUUCAGAAACCUGAUGAUGAUCAACACCAGGUAUGAACACAGGCAGGAUGAAAGGAAGAUCAACAGAGUUCCCAGCUGAUUCAUGUUUCUCUCUGUUUGGUUGUUGUCAAUAAUUGAGAGCAAAGCAGUUACUUUUUAUAUUUGGUUUGCCUUUCAUUUUCCUCAUAAUUAAUGACAGUACUCUAUAAUUUGCUAAUGUUCUUGCCUUUUUGCAGGGAAUUAAGUUAUUAAUUAGUGCUUUAAUAUGGAUGAUGACAUGAUCAUUAAUUGUUGAACACUAAGUACUGUAUACAUGAUUUGCAGGUUGCCCGCCUCCUUGUGCUGCUGCUAGAACAGUCAACAGUCAACUCGUACCCGGAGUGGGCCUCUCGUGGGCUGUAGCUGGGUGGCCUGUGUCAAUUGGGCCGGAUCAAGCACAACAUUAUUGAAACCAGUGGCAAAAAUGCCAUCACAAGAGAAAUGAAAGGGAAAAAACUAUAACAUUAAUGUCAAUACAUAAGUUUUGCUGAAUUUGAAUUCAGUAUUUCCAAGUACCGACACAAAACGCAAUUAUAAUAGUGAUUUGAUCAAUUCUCUCAAAGUUUCUCAAGAACGAUUUGCAGGCCAUAGUUUGGACAGCUAGUUAAAACCGGAGCCGGCGAAUGCACAUACUUGUCCGUGAGCGUAAGCCUGUAACGUUGCAGGAUCAUGGAAACUGCAAUCUUCAUUUGUGUCAUUGCAAAGUUCAUACCAACACAAGCCCAUGGCCCCACACCGAAAGGCAUGAACGUCGCGGAUGCCUUAGCUACUGCCCCUUCCGCAAAUCUAUCUGGUCUGAAUAGCUGAGCGUCUUCCCCCCCACACAUCAGUCCUGUGGUGAAGCGCUAGAACCGGAAUGCAAACUUCGGUCCCUUUCGGAAGUAGUAGCUUCCCUGGACCGAGUCGUACUUGAUCUCGCUCGACUCUCCUCGCUACAUGCAAGAACGGUGGGUAUAGCCUCAUGUUGAUGAUCAUAGUCAGCUGUGGAAAAAAAAAUACAACACAAGGCGUAAGAGGUUUCAGAUUGACUUUUAUAUGUAAGAGGUUUCAGAUUGACUUUUAUAUAUUAUUAAUCGAAGAGUUGACUUACAAUAGACAGUCUGGGGAAGCCAUCAGGAGUUGUUGGGUAAGUAUCGUUUCCGAACAGUUGAACCACCUGAUCACUGGUUUUCUCUUGCCACUAUGUGUUAACCGCUAGCAAGUAGUGUCCAGGUCAGCGAGUUCAUGGCGGUUUCGUGGCCUGCCAAGUAGAAUCUCUUGCAUUCGUCAACCAGAUCAUCCACUGUGAUUCUCUUCUUCAUGUCAGGAUCGGUGUAGGCCUUGAGAAGCAAUGCAAGGAAAUCAGUUGCACAACUACUGUUGUUAUUCUCUUUCUCUCUUUUGGCCACCAUGUUCUUUAUGAUGGCUGUGAUCUCUUGAUUGAGAAUAUCUGAUUCAUGCCCAUCCCCUCUUCUGAAAAUAAUUCUGCAUCCAAGGACAAAAAUAAAGUAAAAUAAAAAAACUGUUUAAAAUUCAGGUUCUGCUAUUGGGACGAAAUGAAUGUCAGGAUGGAGGCCGGAGAGAUUUCCUGACAGGUGUAAUUAACCUGAGGAUGGUCGAGAUUCCUGGAAUCCUGACACUGUACUCGCUCCUCGAGAAGAUUGAAACCAUCUUAGUCAGCCACUCGAAAACCUUUUGUCCUUCCAAGUAGCUGCUCCGAAAAGCAGUCCUGGAUAUGGUUUCGGCUGUCAGGAUUCUCAACUCCUGAAAUGCAUCAAUCUCUAUUCUCCGGUCUCCAUCAUUCAUCUUCUUCCACCUCUCCAGCAUCAUCUCCACGCUCGAGAUCAUGGCCGGAACCAUACCCUGAAAGAAGAGGGAAGAGAGAAAAAAACAAAUCGAAAACUCGUACUCCAAGAAAUGUUCUGAAUGCUCGAAUCAUUAAGACCCAAUUACUUUCUUUCUGGUAACAAUAACGGUUACUUUGAUGUUAGACUGUCAGUCAAAGUCUUACCUUCAAGCUUUCUCCGUGGAAGGCAUGGUUGGCGAGCCUGCGCAUCUUGGUCCACUUCUCGCCUCUAGGCACGACGAGUCCAUCCCCUAGCAUGUUUUUGAAGAGAAGUUGAAAUGCAUGCUUCUCGUAAGCUCCAUCUCUGGUGGUGAGCACUUCUUUGAUUAGCUCUGGUUCAGUGACUACAAGUUGUGGCCUGCUGCCAUACCACUGCAAAUAGUUCUUCCCUGAUCACAACAACACACUAAUUACUCAACAGGACGAGCAAACUGGUUCUUGACAUGGACGAGCAAACUGGUACACAGCAUGACGAGUAAUAUUUAGGAGCCGUUUUUUUUAAUAAAAAGUUAGCUUCACAACACUAUAAAACUUUCAAAGCAUAUUCAAUCAUACUAUCCAUUACUGUCAUAAACGAGGCUAAGUUCAUUCAAAAUAUUAAAACCCAAUAAGUAUAGCUCAACUAAAGCAAUAUGUAGUUUAAAUAUUUAAAAGUACAUCGAGCUUUUCAAGUAAAUUAUAUAUUGAUAUGUGCACAACUAUUAAUGGUUACAUUGAAAUAAAAAAUUUGGUUAGAAUGUUGUAUUUGCCGAACAACAUGUCAAAUGUUUGAAGUGAUAUCGAGUUUUUUUUUAAUUUUGUUCAUGUCUCUUAUGAUCAUAAGAACUAUAUGUUUUAUGUGCUAUAAAAACACAUAAUAUUUAAGUACAUAAUUUCACUAUUGUCCUUUGGUUUGAAUUACUCGGGUACUUAUCGAUUAUUUAUGCUUUAGUUGAUUUAUUUAGGCUGUUAAUAGUGAAGUAAGAAAAGGAUUCAAAUCGUCCAAUGGACCGUGAUUUGAUUUAUUCUAAUUUGUCCACAACGAAAAUCUAUCUAGCUGAAGAUGGGAUGAACUGAUUAGGAUUGUAUUUUUGUACUUACUAUUUUUCUGGUAUUUUUGAGCAACAUGACAUCUCCCCCGAUUUGCAGGAAGAUAAAUUUAUUAAUUAGUGCUUAAUGGAUGAUAACAUGACCAUUGUUGAACACUAAUUAAUUACUGUAGUCUGUAGAUAUAUUUUGCAGGUUGAAUGGUAAGAAUUGUAACUGGAUCGAACCAAAUCGGUUUCAAACUAGACUCGGUUCAUAACAUAUUUGACCCCAACACUCUCCUCUACCUCAUAUUCAUCUUCUUUGUUUUCUUUCACUUGUUUGUUAGAAUCGAAGGAUGGCAGCUAGUAAGUGUAAAAGAGUGUGGUAGAGUUAGUUAUUAUUGUUGUAACUAACUUUGACUUCAUUGCAUUCCUUUCCUUUUGUACAUAUAUAGUUGCAGAGCUGUACAAUGAAACUAAGAAAUACAAUAACAGAAUUCUACAUUUCUCUCUGUCUACACACUCUCAACUCUCUGAAUUCACAUGGUAUCAGAGCGUGUUUAGCUCAAUCCUUUCAUUCUGAUGACCAACUCCGGCGACUCCUCGCCGCCUCCACAGUCCACCGUCAAUCGCUCUCUCAUCACAUCCAAUCCACUCUCUGCUCAUUACUCCNNNNNNNNNNNNNNNNNNNNNNNNNNNNNNNNNNNNNNNNNNNNNNNNNNNNNNNNNNNNNNNNNNNNNNNNNNNNNNNNNNNNNNNNNNNNNGCUUACAACAAUGCUGCUCAAGCUUGGCAAGAUCUCAAGCUUCGAUUCAGCUAGGGAGAUGCGAUUCGAAUCGCCGAUUUGCAAGCCAGGAUUGCUUCCUGUGAUCAAGGUGAUGCUUCUGUGACUUAGUACUUCACUAACCUCAAGGUUUUAUGGGAGGAAUAUCUCCAGUAUAGGCCGAUCCCCAACUGUGAAUGUGCUUCCGCCUAUGCUAGAAUAAGUGUGUGUGUUGUGGUUAGACGCAUGAUCACUUACCAGGAUCAGGACUAUGUCAUUAGAUUCAUUAGAGGACUUAAUAGCUCUUUUGAUGUUGUUAGAUCACAGCUUCUGUUGAUGGAUCCUAUACCAGAUAUCAACACAGCCUUCAAGUGUGCUGUUCAAUUGGAAAGACAGAUGCGAGGAUCUGGAGCUCCUCGAUCUGUUGAGUCAGUAGCAUUGGCUGCUAUACAUUCCAAAUAUCAUGGAGAAAAACUAUUUUGCAAAUAUUGCAAGAAAGAAAACCAUAUGAUUGAAGAUUGUCUGAAGUUGAAAAACAAACGAGCAAGAGAGGCAAGUGGACAGUUUGGAGGUAAUGUGAGUGGUGGAUCAAGUGGAAACUUUGCUGGAGCUGUGACUACUGCUGGGAGUCAGUCGAGUGACAACCACACAGGACUGGAUCAAAGGUCCUCUCUACCAGAUCAGCAUUCCAUGACAGCUGAUAUGUCGCUAUCAGCUCAGGACAUUGCACGUCUCAAGCAGUUGCUCCAACAGUCAAAUCUGCUUCAUUCACCUGCAGAACCCUCCGUUAACACCAUAGCCUCACCCAGCACACUCAAUAACGGUAAUAACCUCAUCCCUAGUCCUUCUGCAUCUAGUUCCCUACAUGAGUCCCCUGUGUGGAUUGUUGACACUGGUGCCAGUGACCAUGUUGCCUGUUCCAUUUCUUCUUUUGGUAAAAUCGAACCCCUAUCGAACGUCCAUGUUACUCUACCUAAUGGCUCUAGGGUCUUAGCUACACAUCGUGGUUCUGUUGAUCUUCCUUGUGGCAUCAAGCUGCUUAAUGUGUUGCACAUACCUCAGUUUAGUUUCAAUCUAAUUUCUGUCAGUCGUCUCACUCAUGAUUCAUCCAUUUCCCUGUCUUUCUUUCACAACCAGUGCCACAUUCAGGACCUUGUCUCACGGAGGAGGAUUGGUUCCUUCCCAGUCAUUAGAGGUUUAUAUCUUCUUCCUAGUAAUCUUUCAGUUCAAACCUACAUGUCCAACACAUCUGUCCUUUCAUCCGUUGUUGCAGCCUCUCUCAAUCUCCAGCCUCAAAACAUUGAUGUUUGGCAUUGUCGCCUUGGUCACCCUUCUUUGCCUCGUAUACAACUUGUUCAUCACGUUGACGCCAAUGUCACCCUUCCUACUCAGUCCCAUUGCAGCACCUGUCAUCUAGCAAAACAAAAGGCAUUGCCUUAUUCUCGUAGUUUGUCUAGAGCCACUAAGGCAUUUGAACUUGUUCAUAUGGACAUAUGGGGUCCUUUAAGUACAAUUUCACACAAUGGAUAUUCAUAUUUCCUCACCAUUGUUGACGAUUACUCCCGAUGUGUUUGGACCUAUUUGAUGCACAAUAAAGGGGAAACUCGUGCCUUAGUUGUUAGCUUUUGUGAACUUGUCCAGAAUCAAUUCCAAUCAAAUGUCCAAACCAUUCGUUCAGACCAAGGGUCUGAAUUCUGCAUGACAUCUUUCUUUGCUUCCCGUGGAAUCAUGCAUCAAACCAGUUGUGUAGGUCAAGCUCAGCAAAAUGGUCGUGUUGAGCGUAAACACCAACAUCUUUUAGCUGUUGCUCGCUCCCUUAGGUUCCAGAGUGGUUUGUCUCUCAGGUAUUGGGGGGAAUGUAUACUUCAUGCAUCAUACAUCAUUAAUCGCAUUCCUACACCCCUUCUAUCAAACAAAUCUCCCUUUGAAGUACUAUAUGACUCUCCACCAUCUUACAGCCAUCUUCGUGUCUUUGGAUGUUUAGCAUAUGCUAGUACCCUACCCCAUGGUCGAACUAAGUUCAGUCCCCGUUCUGUUCCCAGUGUCUUCAUUGGCUUCCAGAAUGGAGUCAAGGGGUAUAAGCUCCUUGAGAUUCCAACUGGUCGCAUCUUUCUCUCACGAAAUGUCAUGUUCCAUGAAACCAUCCUCCCUUACAACACUACACCUCUCAGUCAUAACCCCAUAUCAGAAAAUACCUUAGAUUCACUCUCUCCAACUACAAACACACCCCUCAACACUGAUCUGGAACUUCCUUCUUCACCUUCACCUUUAUCCCCACCUGAUCAGCCUGUGUCCAACACAAAUUCAUCUCCCAUUCCUGAUUCCAUUCCCACAGAGGUUCCUCAUCAUGUGUCUCCCAUUAGAAAAUCAACCCGUGUAUCAAAACCACCUAGUUACCUUACAGACUAUCACUGCAACCUAAUGACUUCUGGAAGUCUUCUGUCCAAAUCUUUUUCUUCUUAUCCCUUGCAUCAUUAUGUCUCAUAUGAUCAUAUAGAUCCCAAAAACAAACACUUCACCCUUUUCAUUAGUACGAUACCUGAGCCACAAACCUAUGCUGAGGCUGCUCGAUUUGACUGUUGGGUUCAAGCAAUGCGUGAAGAGCUGCAAGCUCUAGCUGAUAACAGGACAUGGGCAGUCAUGGAACUGCCUCCUGGUAAGAGGUCAAUUGGUUGCAAGUGGGUGUGUAAGGGAGUUUAUGGCCUGGAUUUUACUGACACAUUUUCUCCAGUUGCUAAGAUUAAUUCAGUUAAAGCGUUGUUGGCUGUUGCAGCAUCUAAGAACUGGCAUUUACAUCAAAUGGAUGUUAGUAACGCUUUCUUACAUGGUGAUCUGGAGGAAGAAGUUUAUAUGGAUGUUCCUCCAGGGUUAGAUAUGGAGAACACAGGUUGGACUAGACCUGUUUGCAAGCUGUACAAGUCCCUCUAUGGACUGAAGCAAGCAAGUCGACGAUGGUUUGUGAAGUUGAGUGAUGCACUCAAGGGAGAAGGUUUCCAUCAGUCAGCAGCUGACCAUUCUGUGUUUAUCUACACAGCAUCAACUGACAUGGUGGUUCUACUGGUUUAUGUCGACGAUAUCAUAUUAGCAGGUAAUAAUAUUGAUCUUAUACAGGAGGUUAAGGGCAAAUUGCACAAGCAUUUCAAGAUCAAGGAUCUAGGAGAACUAAAGUUCUUCUUGGGGCUGGAAAUCACACGUGACAGCACUGGAAUCACUAUGUGCCAGCGAAAGUAUUGCUUGGAGUUGAUUGAAGAAGCAGGCUACAUUGACAAGAAGCCUUCUAAAACUCCCGUGGACUACAAAAAUAAGCUCAGGGCAGGCGAAGGGCAACCAUUGGAGGAUGUAUCUGAGUAUAGGCAGCUAGUGGGACGACUACACUAUCUUACUAUCACUAGACCUGAUAUUAGCUACUCAGUCCAACAAUUAUCCCAGUUUCAGGCAAAUCCCACUAAUGUCCAUCUGGAGGCUGCUUACAAAGUGAUCAGGUACCUCAAGGGGGCACCUGGUCAAGGGCUAUUCUUUGGGAAGAACAACCAACUUACGAUGACAGGAUAUAGUGACUCUGAUUGGGCUAGCUGCCCUGACACGAGGAAGUCAACUACGGGAUACUGCUUGUUCCUAGGAACAGCACUAAUUGCCUGGAAAACCAAGAAGCAGAAUACUGUUUCGAGAUCAUCAUCAGAGGCAGAGUACAGGGCAUUAGCACAAUUGUGCUGUGAGGUGCAGUGGAUGAAAUUCCUGCUUGAAGAUUUUGGGAUCGUGCAUUCAGAAGCAGCGAUGCUGCACUGUGACAACCAGUCAGCUCUACACAUUGCACACAACCCUGUGUUUCACGAGAGGACGAAACACAUAGAGAUCGAUUGUCACGUUGUUAGGGAACGAUUGCAAUCGGGAAUGAUUAAGUUGAAUUAUGUUCCCACUGAGGUUCAGCUAGCAGAUAUGUUCACGAAAGGACUGACUGCUGCUCGCAUGAAGAUGUUGUUAUACAAGCUGGGAAUCGUUAAUAUAUACUCCCCAGCUUGCGGGGGGCUGUUAGAAUCGAAGGAUGGCAGCUAGUAAGUGUAAAAGAGUGUGGUAGAGUUAGUUAUUACUGUUGUAACUAACUUUGACUUCAUUGCAUUCCUUUCCUUUUGUACAUAUAUAGUUGCAGAGCUGUACAAUGAAACUAAGAAAUACAAUAACAGAAUUCUACAUUUCUCUCUGUCUACACACUCUCAACUCUCUGAAUUCACAGUUUUCCUUCUGUAGUUUACAUAAAGGUCUCAUUCUUAGUUGUAGCUUUCAGAAAUGGAUUAACCAAAUAAGUUCCCGUAAGCUAGCUUCCGCCUCAUUGUUAAUAACUCUAUAUGAACAGUCUAAUAAUUAUAUACGCCUCUGUAACUAGGUAGAUCCUACAAAGUAUAAGACUCAGCAGGUAAGAGAUUGAAUCAAUAACAAUGUACUGCAGAAUAAUGCGAAUACAGGCUCUGGUUUUGGUACUGCUAUUGGUGGUUGCUAAUGGCGAGUACCGUGAUCACAAGUGCACCUGCAAGCGCUACAGAGAUAUGUGUAACCAAUGCGACGUUGGUGCUGGACGAUGCUGUAGCCGGCAUGGAUAUUGUAGUUCUACCGAUUGCCCACCUCCUGAUGCUGCUGCUGCUGCUGGAACCGGCCUGCUGGUUCCGGCCACCUACAACGACAGAAAUCUUAUCCCUCAAGCUUCUGACCGGAACUUGUCGAUUGCAUGGCGAAGGAGUUAUGGUUGGGUGACCAUCUGUGGGCCGUCAACAGUUGUAGCACUCGAUCAUGUUCAGGCUCGUCGGUGCUUAAAGGUCCGUCUCGUUUUUUUAGUGAUUUGGGGACUGUGUUCUUCCUAGGUUAUAUUGAUCCUUGAUUUAAGUGAUUUGGUGAUCAAACUAACUACUAACAUAUAAUAUAUAAUCCAUGGUCCACACAUAUUUAUAACUACGACCCUUGUGAGAUCGGUAUUGACAAUUGCAGAAUCAGCCGUAGGCGAACCUAAAUCACCACUCAAAGUCUCCAAAAUAACCAAGUGCUAUGCAAAAUUUUAAAAAGAAAUUCAAAAUUUUUCGCACAGCGUAACAUUCAAAUUCACUUCAAAUUUGAAAUUCUACCGAGGGCUAUCCUACUUCUGCUAUUUUGACAGAAUUUGAAUAGUAAUCAGUUGGAUUUAAAUACAGUAAUUGGUUUGGUGUUGCAUAAUGCAGGUAACUAAUAGGGUCAAUGGGAAAGAAGCAGUGGUGAGAAUUGUGGAGAAAGAGUGUAGAUCAAGCAACACAAGUGGUAUUAGUUUGGAGUUGGACUAUGUUGUUUUCCAACGUCUCCACCAAAGUGGUAACAGAAAUUAUGUAAGAGGCCACCUACUGGUCUCCUACCACUAUGUUCACUGUAUCGAAUAGAAUCACUAGAUUAUGUGGCCGGGCAAUGCUGCGGAAUCCUUAAUCGGAGCUAGGAUCAUGUUGAACCUACGAAAUCAUGACAUGUUUAACCGUGUAUCGAUCUUAUCGCGUUAAUUCUGCAAAUCUUAAUUGGUUCGAUUUCAGCAACAUGAACUGGACAUGUUUUUUCACUAGGAUGACUUGGUCAUUUUGGACAAACCAAAUAAACAUAACAGAGUUCAUCAGCAGUACCACAAGCUUACAAAACCACAUUAUAUAUAUCCAAUGAACCAACCGAAAUUACAUUAACCAAACCGUACAUUUUCCCCAUCUCUCAAUCAAGAUCUCAUCCUGUUGAUCUGGUUCAAAGCCGGCUGCAGAAUGUUGUAAAGCACCCACAGAAUCGCCGGCGCCACCACAAUCAGCAACAGAGUGCCCCUGUUGUCGCUCCCGGUGGCGGCCGCCUCUGCAGCCGCAGCUUACGCCUCAGGAGCCGUCUCCGCCAGNNNNN
Molecule: long non-coding RNA, 52413 nt
Filed under: Linum usitatissimum (flax)
Lineage: Eukaryota; Viridiplantae; Streptophyta; Magnoliopsida; Malpighiales; Linaceae
Description: long non-coding RNA (LUSI_LNC005073)
Source: RNAcentral